Molecule: long non-coding RNA, 65953 nt
Filed under: Vigna radiata
Lineage: Eukaryota; Viridiplantae; Streptophyta; Magnoliopsida; Fabales; Fabaceae
Description: long non-coding RNA (VRAD_LNC002416)
Source: RNAcentral
GAGAGAGGAGAUAGCUCGGGCGAAUCCGGUGAUCAAAGGGGAGAAGCUACGGAGGAUUUAAUCUGCGCCGUUGAUUGGAUGAUGUGAUUUGAUUGAGUUGAUCAGGACCGUCCGUGGUGGACCGCUGAUGAUAGGAAUUGAUGAGCGUGUGUAAAAAAUAUAUCUAUUAUUAUGACGACAUUGGAAGGGUUGAAUAAGUCAUGUUUGGUGGCUUUGCUUUUGUGUUCAUUAAAAAUGAAAAUUGCUAGGUCCACCCACGUUCGGAAUUUGAGGUCCCUUUUGAAAUUGAAAUGUAAAAAACUAGUAGCACUGUAGUUUAAUAUUUUUUCUGCGCCAAAUUAUCUUCUGCAUUGUAUUUCAUUUUCUGCCGUUGCACUAUGGACUUUUUCUUCCAAGACCAAAAUUGUUCAAAAUAAAAAUCCCCGAUGAAUAAUUUUCUAACUUUUUCAUACAAGGUUAUCAAAAUAGAGGGUAUAUUUGAAUCGUGCAUUGAGCUCAAACAUAAUAUUACAAGGGAAAAAAAUUUUUUAGCAACAUUUUUUUAAUAAUUUUUUGAUAACAGAUACCAAUAAAAUGAUGACACGGAUUUUGUUAUAAAAAAAAUGUCAAAAAAAAAUUAUAAAAAUAUCAUUGUCCUAUUAUAACUGAAUUCACCUUUAUAGCUCUUCGUUGGGAGCAUCUUGUUGUAUCGAACAUGCUUGGGAGCUGCUUAAACUCUCUAUCCAAACGCCAUCAGCUACGACUGCAUCAGUGUCGUUGUUUCGGUGCCACGACCAGUGUGCGUGUGUUUCAUUUACUAUUCUCAACCUUCCAUGUCCAAAGCUUGGUUCUCGAUACAACGAGAGCGGGCUUGGAGGGUUCUUAAACCUGUUAUCAACAAUACAUAUACAACAAUAUAAACCUAAGAAAGAAAAAAAAAACGAAAAUUGAAAAUUAAAACAUAAGAACAUCUCACGUUAACGCAAGCCCCUCUCGAUUUCCUCCGUCUCCAAUGGUGACGUACAUGGGUCCACACGAGUCAACUUUGUUAUCGUAAAUUCGAGUCUGCAAUGAAUUUAACUAGUUACUGAAAACAAAACAACCGAGGAUUAAGUUGAAAAAAAAAGAAAUGGAAGUGUGACGUACGAAGCGUUCAUAGGCAUGAACAUGGCCAGCAAAAACCAAGUCAACACGGGCAUUAUAAAGCAAUUGUUCCAUGGCUUGUCUCAUGGAUUCACCUUCACCUUGGUGUGCCUCAUUAGUGUUAUACCAAGGUGCAUGCAACAACACAAUGAGCCAAGGUGUCUUGGCCCUGUCAAUAUUGGCGAGAUCAGACUGGAGCCAGUUGUAUUGUUGUGACUGGGCGUGAAAGUCAGUGUAGGAACCUAGCAUGAUGACAUGGGUGGCAACAAGCUGGAAGGAGUAAUAGAGGUUUGAGGUGGAAGCACUUUGUUGGAAGGGCAUAGGCCAACGAGCAUUGUAGGCUUGGAAGGGUUGUGGGUAAAUAAUGGGGAAAAUCUCGAUCUCGUGGUUGCCUUCAGUAACCAUCCAUGGCCUUUUACUGGCAUAGGGUUCCACCAAACGACCAAAGGAGUCCCACAAAGGUUGUUGGGAGUCUGCGUAUGAUAGAUCUCCUGGUAACAACGCAACGUCGUACUCCCUGCUUUCGACAUGUUUCAAGGUUGAUGCAGUCCAUUCUGUUUGUCCCAAGUCCCCUGCAUUCAAUCACAUAUCUUUAUGGAAAACAUUAUUCAUACAUACAAAUGGUAAAACGACAAAUAUAAGUGAUUCAUUGAUCUUUUUCUAGGCAAGUUAGGGAACUGCCAAACAAAUGGUGUACACUUACGCCACUCUUCAAUCCUUAAAAGAUACCUUAUCCUUAUAUUGGUGUCCCACCCCAUCUUUGCGUUGCUUCAACAACACAUUAACUUGAAAAUUAACCCAACUAUAAAACCAUAAUGGUUUAUAUGCCAAAGUAGAACCCAGACAGAAGCAAACCAAACGGUGAAGCAAAAGACUGAUAUCAAAUCCCAACGACAAUGACUUACCAACGACGACAAAUUCAAGAGGGAAGUUGUGUGGAGGUGUCUUGAGAGAAAACUCUGGGCCCGACCCUCCACACCUGUAGAAGUAAGUGGUGCCUGGUUUCAAAGGACCAAUAACAACGUUGUGAAUCUUGCCGGAAUUGUACAAAAAAUAUCGGUACGAGGUAUGCUCCCCCGUUGAUUUUGCGUUAUAUUCCCCUGACUCUGUUCCGUACUCCACCACAGAUUCUGCACGCUUCUCUUCCGUUAUCCACGACACCCUCAUCUUCUCUUUCCCCACCAAUGAAAUGUGCACCUACAGUAACCAAAUUGCGAACGUAAGUAAACAUUAACAUAAUUGAUCUAUGCAUGCAUCAUAAGUCGUCAUGAACCUGUUGCGGAUCAGAAUGGGAGCGUUGAUGUGGUGUGAUGAUGAGUUGACCAGCUGGCUGACGAACGAAAUUGUUGUGCUCGGAGAGUAGAGGCAGUGGGAACAAAAGGAGGAAUAGGGUGUGUAUGAGGGGGAUUGGGAACUCCAUAAGAGACCUUCUGCUGCAUUUUCUUCCCAUCAUCUUCUUGUUGAUUCAUGAAGUAUAUUAGUAAAGGGAACUCUUUUGAGUUAUUUAUAUAAUGGGGUUGCGGAAAAAACACUGCAUGAGAUGGAAAGAGCAUUUAAGAUAUAUUUUUCUUCAAAACUCCUUGCUUUGUAGUUCUGUUUCUCUCUGCCUUCUUGUACACGCGUGCCUCCUUCCACUGAGUAAGAAAAUAGAAUUGUAUGGAAAACAAUACGCAGUUUGGCACUUACAUCAAAUAAUAGAAGCCGACUUACAUAAAAAUGGCGCAUCUGAACAUCACGUAUGGCUCAGAUUUGAAGGCAAUACAAACACGCUAUUUCUCUCUAUUUGUUCCAAGUUUGCAAAACUUUCGGUACAGUGAACAUGACUGCUGAGAAAUAUUAAUUAUAUUGACCUUAAACGGUUUUUUCAAGCAACAAAAGAACAUAAGAACCCUCCAAGCUCGCUCUCGUUGUAUCCAUUUUAGUACACAGCAGUAUUCAUUUUCCAAUAUAUUAUUAAUAUUAUUUAUUACACUAUUAAUAUAUUAUUUAUUCUCCAUGCACCCUGUAGUGUAGUGUAAGGGGGUUGCCGGUCGGGUAAAGAUGAAUAAAAACGAUAAGUGGAUGAAAGGUAUAUUAAGGGUGUAGCAGGAGAAUUGGGAGUCAAUCGGGGACACGGGUAGGCCGGCCGGUUGAAUGAAGAGGAAGGACGAGUAUAGUAUAACAACAUUAUUAGAUUGGUGGGGCGAAUCUUGCGGGCAAGUGAGUAACAGUUAUAAUUAAUGGACAAAUCUGUCGGAACAUGAAUCAACAGUUACAGGUAGUUAAUGUCCAUUAACUGAGUUGAAUACCUAUAAAUAUAGGAAAUGUUAAUCAGGUAUAGAACUUUUUGAUCAAAUUACAUUUGCUUAUUUUAUAUUGACUAUACUGAUUUGAGCGUCAGAGUAAUGUGCAGGUGACAACCGAUCAACGAUAGACGUAAGUAGAUUUUCCAAAGUACAGUGAUAGACGUAAGUAGAUUUUUCAAAGUACACCGCCUGGAUAGCUGGGAUUGUGUUCGGUGUUGAGCCCUACGUCCGAAACACACCCCAAGUUCUUCAUUGCUUCGUUUUUAUGUGCAAGUAAUCUUCCUUGAAACUGACAUAGAACAAGAGGAACACCUUCUACCUGUGUUUUGUGAAGCAGUUCAAGAGAUCUUCCAUCCUCUACAAACCUAUAAAUAUGAAUAAAUCCUGCAGUUACAGUCCUUUUGGGCAAAAAUUUACAAGAGACUUUAGUAAUACAAGUAUGAGCCUUGAAAUCAACACGGGUCAUUAUCAUGAAUUGAUCCAUAAGGGCUCAAGACAGAUUAUCAGUGUCAAAGUAUGAAAUUUCAUACAAAGAAUGCUUUUCAACUAUGCUAUUCUUACAUCAACUAUAUCAUCAGAAAUUUUUAACACAUUAUGUUGGGUAAUUACAUUUUCAUACCUUCUAAUCCAUAUAAUUACGAAAUUAUUACUUAUAUUCUGUAUUUCGUUAGUCCAAUAGUAAGACAUUUAGGUUAGAUGUAAAAGGACAAAUCAAGUUAUCUGUUCUAAUAUGAGGAGGAACAACUUGUUUUGACUUUUUAACACUUAAUUAGCAUUUAUAUAUGUCCUUCACAUAGAUCCAAUCAUAAACUUUAUACUCUUCGCCCAGACAAAGGAAAAGUAAAUCGCAACUCCAAUAAAAGCAAAACAUAUCUUUAUCGUUGUGAUAAAAUUUCUUCCUCACAGAAUGCUUUCUUGUAAGUUUUCAUGGAGAAUUCGUGCAAACUCUUAAUUCAGCCACUUUUAAUCAUUAGUAAUUUGCAUUUUUGGUUUUUACAAGAAAUGUCAUUUAAAAAGUGAUAUUUUUUAAUAACAAAUCAUUUUUAUAUUUUGUGGUUCUUUGUUAUGUUAUGACCGCUUCAUUUUUUCAAAAAAGAUAAAACGCCACAUUUAUUGUGAAAUAACGUAUAUAUUUUUCAAAUUUAUGCAAUUAGACAAGAAAAUAUUUAGUGAAUGUGUCAGGUUUAAUACAUUUUUUAAAGUAUAAAUAUUAGUUUCUUAAACUAUUAUUAUUAUUGAAAUUAAUUUUCCUUUAACCUUUCGAAGUUGUUCCAUUUAUAUUUUUUCCUUUUCCAAUUUUUUGAAUUGUUUCCUGUCCUUUUAUCGUAAAACUCACUAAAAAAAGACAUAACUCAGGCUAAAACAAACAAAAGGUUUAAUACAUUUGUCUUAGUAUAAAUAUUAAUUUCUUUAACUAUUAUUAUUAUUGAAAUUAAUUUUCCUUUGUAUACAUUAACCUUUUGAAGUUGUACCAUUUAUAUAUCUUUUUUCCUUUUCCAAUUUUUUGAAUUUUUUCCUUUCCUUUUAUCGUAAAACUCACCAAAAAAAGGCAUAACUCUGGCUAAAACAAACAAACAGUUAUUUUAAAUUUUUUCAAUAAAAAAUAAUAUUUUAUCUCUUCUCAUCGUUGAUUCUGUUCCGUAACUGCAAGUAGGUUAAAUAUUUUUUAGAAAGGGAAUAUCAGAAUAUCCCAUAAUCGAAAUUAAACUAUGAACACAUUUAUAUCUUAUGCGUACAAUAGCUGGAGUUCCAAGACAUGUCGACACAUGGGUUGGGUUACAUAUUGUGAAGUGUGAACGCUAUAUAAAGAACUCAAUACACAAGGAAACUUGUGGGUCGUAGAAUAUUCAAAUCACGCAAUAAAUAUAUACACACAUUCACUGAUUUUCAUCAACCACCUUCUCCUCUUUCUUCAUUUUCAAUCUCAAAUUUCUUUGAUUUUAGUGACAACAUUUUUAGCACCGAAAUUUCAAAACGAUGUUGGUGCAAAGAAUGUGCAUGCUAGGGUUCUUGCUAAUCGUCGGAAUCUUCGAAAUCGACGCCGUUUAUGGUUACAAUCGACCACCACCUCGUCAAAACCUCUUUAUUCCAAACGCGGAUCACUCCGACUUGCCACAACAGGUAACAACAAAUUACUACGCUUACGCAAAUUUGACUUUUAAUUUUCUGCAUCGACGCUUUAUUUGCAUUUCCAGUUAGCGAAGUGAGAAAGAAAAACUGUUCGAGAAACUCAAGUUUUCUCAUUGAUUUUGUGGAUAUUCAAUAGAGUAACUGCUUGAAUUUUGAAAUUCACAUUCAUGGCGCAUUUAAUGUUCCUGAGCACUGGAGCCAGCCAACACAUAUACAUCAACAUCUUAUUGACAACAUAUGUUUGAGGUUCAGAUUUUUCAUCGGAUAAAUCGAGUGUGCGAUUGUUUUCAUUGUGGUCUUAUAUAUAUUUUUAACUGAAAAAUUAUUAUUUUACCGUAAUCUUUAUCAAUUUUUAAGUAUUUAUGUUUUUCAAUUCAUGUUCUGUGCUGGUGAAUAGUUGGGUGUAGAAGACAACAUGUUUGAUUACCAGAAGGAGAGAAUUGGCUUAAUCUGGUACCAAACUGCGAAAUGGUUAAACCAAACGCUUUGUCGUUGGCUGUGUCUUCUCAUCUUUUGGCAUUUUGUAUCAAUCAAAGAAAAAAAAAUAACGAUCUCAAUUUUGUUUAACAUGCCUGCAAUUUUUAUUUUUUUUUAACAAAUCUUUGUACGAAAAUUAAAUUAUCACGAUUGUUUUCUUGAAAUAGUGUUCUGAAUUUAAAACUAAUUUAAAUAUUAAUAUAUAGACUGUUCUUCCUUUUUUUUUUCUUUUUAUCUUUGCACAUUUCUCUUAUUUUUUAUCCCCUCCUCUUCGCGAAUUGACUAAAAGGGAUUAAUUUGCUAUUUUUUAUUUUAUUUCUUUCAAAUAUUUAAUAAAAAAAUUGUUAUCUAUAAUCUAUGAAAACACACUUUUUAUUUGUCUUUUUUUCUUCAAUUUUACUCUCUUAAUUACUAUUUUUUAAAUUUAGAUAAUUAUUUAUAAUAAAAAACUAUUUUUCAAUUUUAUCAUUUUAAUAAUUAGUUUUUUUUUUAAUUCAAAUAAUUACUCCUUUUAAAAAAUUAUUUAUUUUUUAUCAUUUUAAUAACUAUUUUUUAAAUUUAAAAUUACUCAUUUUUAAUAUUUUAGUAACAUAAUAUUACUUAUAAUAUAAUUUAUUUUAAUAACUAGAAUUUAUUUUAUCUAUAAUUAUAUUUAUAACUAUAUAUCUAUAACUGUAUAUGCAUUUUGUUUUUUAAUUUUAUGCUUUUAAUUACUAUUUUUAAAAUUUAAAUAAUUUAUAAAUAUUUAAAAAAUAUGCCCACAAGUGUUGUAAUAAAUCCUUUAUUUACGCUAGUCUCUAUAAAAAAAAAAUAAGCUAUUUGAUUUCUUUCUCUUUGUAAUUCUGACUUUUUACAUUAAGCUAUUUAUUUUAAUCAUUGUAUUACAUAUAAUAAUAAUUAUUAAUUUAAUAUUAUACUUCAAGAAAUUUAAUAAUGAUAGAUUUAUUUCUUUUCUAGUACUUUUUAUAAUAACUUUAUGUUUGACUAUUUAAUUAUUAUAACAAAAUAAUAACAUUUGCGUCUUUUUUACUAUAUUAUAAACAUUUGAAGUUAUAAUAUAAAAUUAAUUAUAAAGUAUGUAACAAGAAAAGAAUAUAAUACUUGAAAAUAAAAGAUUGCAAUUAAAUAGAAUUUUGAAUAGUUUUGUUUUUAAUAACUAUUUUAUUAAUUUAAUAUUAACAUAGAUGUAUAUAAAAAGUAAUUUUAAAAAUUGAAAUAAUAAACAAUUCCAUCAGUUAAAGAGAUUUUUAUUUUCUGUAGUGUUGUUUUUUCUUAACUUUGGAGACUAAAAAAAUAAUUUUUGAAUUCGAGGAUUAAAACAUUAUUUUUAUAUUCAAGUACGAAAAGUGUUUACAAUUCAGGACAAGAAUAUUUUUAAAUCUUGACAACUAAGAACACUGUUUGACUUAAAUAUUUGAAUGAUUUAAUUUAUAUACAUUUAUUGUAAUUUUAGUAACAUAUAGAUAGUCAUGUAAUUUUAUGCAAGUGGUUACACUACAUAGGUCUGAUCGAAACACUAAAUUAUUAGUUUAUCUAAGAGAAAGUUCUUAAACUAAAGUGUUGGCAUAGGUUAUAUUCUCUCAUGAAUUAUUCUAGACAAGUUUCCUAAGACAAAGUCUUAAUGAAUGUGUUGGCAAUGGGUGGAUCUUUCUGUCUCAGGUACACAUAUCUCAAGUGGGAGAAAACAAGAUGAGGAUAUCGUGGAUCACAGACAGCCCAACUUCACCAAAGGUUUCGUACGGUCCAUCUCCUUCAGCAAAUGCAUUAUCUGCCACAGGGACAACCUCUUCCUACCGUUAUCUCAUUUACAAGUCCGGUCAAAUUCAUGACGUUGUAAUUGGUCCCCUCAACCCCAACACUGUCUACUAUUACCGUUUGGGUGACCCACCCUCUUCCGAAACAUACAGUUUCAAGACUCCACCUUCUCAACCUCCCAUCAAGUUUGCAGUAGUUGGUAUCCCCUCCUAUAUAUAUAUAUAUAUAUAUAUAUAUAUAUAUAUAUAUAUAUAUAUAUAUAUAUCGACAGUGAAUUAAGAAUGUUAAUUACACGGUGUUCUCCUUACUUACAACAUGUGUAUAUGUUUUCGAAUGAUGUUGCAGGAGAUCUUGGACAAACGGAUUGGACGACUUCGACCUUGCAGCAUGUAGCUAAAUCAAACUACGACAUGUUGAUUCUACCAGGUGACCUAUCCUACGCAGACUUUAUUCAACCUCUAUGGGACUCCUUUGGUCGGUUGGUAGAACCUUUAGCUAGCCAGCGUCCUUGGAUGGUCACCCAAGGCAACCACGAAGUGGAGAAGAUUCCUAUCGUUCACUCAGAGCCAUUCACGGCAUACAACGCCAGAUGGCGCAUGCCCUUCGAAGAAAGUGGAUCAGACUCUAACCUCUACUAUUCUUUCGAUGUCGCUGGCGUUCAUGUCAUCAUGCUUGGCUCCUAUGCCAAAUUUCAUCCAUCUUCUCCGCAAUACAAUUGGCUUAAAUCUGACCUGCAAAAGGUUAACAGGGGAAAAACUCCCUGGGUUUUGGCGCUCAUUCACGCUCCUUGGUACAACUCCAACACUGCUCAUCAGGGUGAGCCUGAAUCCCUUGAAAUGAAAGCUUCCAUGGAAGACUUGCUCUUCAAAGCCCGUGUCGAUGUUGUUUUUGCAGGCCAUGUUCAUGCUUAUGAACGCUUCGUGAGUAUCAUAUAUUACUCAUACUGUUGUUACUCUUCGAUCUGUUUGUUUGUCUUGCUUUAUUUAUAGGAAAAUAAAAUUUUAACACCAUUUUUUUUGACAUCAUUUUGACACUGCACACGUGUCAAAAUAUGGUUGGAAGAUUUCAAAUUAAAAAAUAAACUUUGGUUUUUCUCUUCUAAAUAUAUCCCUACCUCAACUUUUUUAAUUUGAAAUCGUCCAAUCACAUCUUCACAGUGUGCAGUUUCAAAAUAGUGUCAAAAAAUAGUAUUAAAAUAUCAUUGUCCUUAUUUAUAACCUAUUUGUUUGUUUUGUCAGACACGGGUUUAUAAAGACAAAGCUAACAAUUGUGGUCCAGUGCAUAUCACAAUCGGGGACGGGGGUAACCGUGAAGGCCUUGCUAAUAAGUAAUUUCAUGUUUCACCAUAAUUAAGUUGUGGAAAUUCAUGAUGUUAGAUUUGCAUUGAAUGAAUUCACUGUCUUUUUUGCUUGAACAGGUACAUAGAUCCUAAGCCAGCGAUAUCAAUGUUCAGGGAGGCUAGCUUUGGACAUGGUACAUUCGAAGUCUUUAAUGCAUCUCACGCACGUUGGACAUGGCAUCAGAACGAUAACGAUGAAGCUGUUGUUAGUGAUAGUAUCUGGCUUACGAGUUUCUUCUCCAAUCCUUCUUGUAAACAGUGAUCAAACAAUCAUGCUAAUAGGAUUUCCAGCUAUUUAAUCCUGGAAAACUAAAUAUAAGAUUCAAAUAUCAACAACAACAAAAUUAGAAUUUAUUCAUCUUAUAGAAUAGUGAAAUACUUACCUAAUAAAAGGAAAAUAUCUAAAUUUUAAUAAAUAAUUGUUAAAUUAAUAUAAAUAAAAAGUUAGAGAUAGAAGAUAUAUCUCUUGAUUGAGUAUUCUAGUUGAUAAGAUCAUUAUAUCUCUUGGUUUGAACGUAUUAAUGUUCGAUAAAACUUUUUUCCUGAUGUCUUUUUUACAAAAGAAAAUUCGGUAAGCUUAACAAAGAGAGGGAAUGAUUGUUGAGAUUUCAAUUUCUAUUACUCUUUAGUUGAUAUUUCAUAUUUCAAUUAAAAUUUAUCGCCAUAGUAUUGCUUAAUCAUUGCUCUUUUAGAGGCUGGUUUGUAUUUCUAUUGUUUUUUAUUUAUUUAUAUACAUUUAUUCUACAUAUUUUAUAUUUUUAUAAAGUAUUGUACACAUCAUGUUAAUUUUUCUCCAAAUUAAAUAAUUAAAUAAAUCUAACUUUUGGUUUACAUAUUUCCUCAUCAUUAUUCUUCUUUUUUUCACACUUAUAAUACUAGUCUUACUAUAGUUGUAGAAUUCAACGAUAUAUCACUUGGUGCUAUAUUCAAAUAAUUAUUAUUCCAAUAAAAAAAAAAAUUAUGGAAAGAGUUUUAUUUUCAAAUUAAUUGUUUGUCCUCUUAGUUAUUUAUGUUUGGUUUCUUCACUUAAUAAUUAAUCUUUUUUAACGUAGACAUUCAUCGUUCUUUAGCAACAUGUACGGUCAUCGUUCUUAUUUAAUUUCAAUAAAUAAUAUUUAAAUGAAUUUAUAAGGUCAAUUUACUGUUUUUCAGCAUAUUGUUUCACUUGUUAUCGGACUGUUAUCAGAUUAUUCAUUAAUGUCUAGUCUCACGUUCAGAAUGUAUAUACAUCAGUGUGAGAGGUGAAAACAUUAAAAAUUCAUCGACAAUAUUUUUUUUAUAAACUUCCGAUAGACCAAAAUCUAUUAAUAAUAAUGUGGUAGAUAAUAUUUAAUGAAUGAAUUUUAUAUCUAACCGUAAUUAUCAACAAAAAAAGUUGUUAAUAAUUAUAAAAGAAAUUAUUGAUAAUUAUAAAAAAAGAGUUGGUAAUUAUAUAAAAAAAUUUGUCGAUAAUUACAUGAAAAAUUCAUUAGUAAUUAUCGAAGAAAUUUUUUUUUGAUAAUUAUUAAAAGAAAUUCGUUAGUAAAUUAUGUAAGUAAAGGUGUUGCUCCCUCCACCUUCCCAUUUUCUCCCUCUACCUCUCCAACUUUCUUCAAUUUUUUUCUAUUACAAAAAUAACUUUUUUUAUCCUUUUUAACUUUUUUUUUAUAUUUUGUUUUAAUGUUAGUAAUCAUCAAUCCUACUUCAUCCUUACCUUUUUACAGUUUCACCUCUCCCACCUCCUCCAAACUUUUGAAUAUUUGAAUAUAGAUAUAAAAGGUUAAUAAAUUAUUUAUCUUCUCUCCCACAUUAUUCUUGUAUUCACUCAUCAUCUUCAACAUAUGCACAACUUGAGUUUCUCCAGAAUUUUCUUUUCAUGUAUAUCAGAAAUAUCGCUUUUAUAGAAUUCAAAUACUAGUUUCUCAAAAUAUUGAAAUCUAUCUAACUAUUUAAGUAAACUCUCAUCUUUCUUCACAAAUUUUCUGAUAAACACGGGAUUGAGAUUGAAACCUUAACCACGUUCUACAAAAUAAAAUUAUCUAUCAACCCGUGUCAUAAUAUUUAUUUUACAUGAUCGAAAAGGAGGAAGAAAAGUUAAAAUGGAUAAAAUUAUUUAUUAAUAUAGUUUUAUGUAGUAGAAAGUAAAAAUUGAUUUGAUGUUUCGAAUAUACUAAAAACUAAGAAAUGAAAGUAAUUUAUACUGGCAUAGAUAUUAAUGUUGGGUAGCAUAAAACGUAGCGCAUCCCAAUCAGUGUUGGGUUCCAUGGCGCUUUUUCAAUCAUCCAAAAGGUUCGUCAUCUCCAAUCUCCUCCUUCCCUUCUCGAAAUCUUCUUCAACAGCCCUUAAUCCCCUUCGUCAAGUUCAAAUAUUCACCACAUUAUCCCAAACCCACAAUCCAAUUUUCUUAUGAGCCUCCAAAACACACCACAUUGGCCUUCCACGCGGUCCAAUCUAGGUUCACAUCCAAUGCCUUCUACAGAAUCUUAUCCAACUCUUGUGACUCCACCGUUACCGUCUCUCUUGCUGAUGUUGUGGUGAAUCCCUUGCCGGAGCUGAUGUCUUUUAUCUUAAACGGAUAUUGAGAUCCGUGAACGGAUCCUCGUAUAUCCGUUUAAAGGAGAUUUCAAAGGUUAUUGAAAGGAUAAAAUAAGAAUAAAGUAAAAGGUAAUAAAGGAAUGAAAAGGUGGAGGGAACAAAUAGGGAGGUGUAGGGAGUAACUCCCUGUACUUCACUUUUUUUUUUUCUUUUUAAGAAUUCUAAUUGUUGUAGAAAUUGGGAAAAAUCCCUAAUCUAUUUUUCAAAAUGCCUCCCUUUCUUCAUCACACACUGCAGGUACGGUCAUGCCAAUCAAGAGAAUUCCAGCCGUGGGUUUCUUUUUUCGUUGCAAGUUUUGAAAUCAUGAUCAUGACAAAAUGCUACAAAAUGAUUGGGAAAAUCCUAAUUUCUGAAAAAUCCCUAACGUCGCAAUUCAAGAUUUCUGCUGCUCCUUUGUCAUUCCCAAGCAGAUCCUUGUGGUGUUCUCCCUUUAUCACAUGUGGUGAUUCUAUGUACUUGAAGGAAGAGAUGGCGGCGUGCAACACUAUUUCGAUUAGUUCUCUAGCGCUUUCGCGUGAUGUAAAGGCUAAUCUGACGCUUGUGGUGGUCACGGCGGGAGUUGUGGUGGUGAGGAGUGGUGGUCUGCAUUUUUGGCAGUGAAGACACGCUGCUGCUUCUUCUCCACUGGUAGAUGUAUUUUUUUUGGCACAUCCAUCUUUCUUCGUUUUGUUCUAUUGGAGUUGCGGUGGAGACAUGCAAGACGCUCCUUCUUUUUCUUGCCAUGUUUUUUGAUAAUGUGAUAGCUUGUGAUUAGUUCGUUUUAAAUAUUUUUUAAACAUAAAUUCAAAUAGACCAAUAAAAUGAUGAUACGUGUUCCGUUAUAAAAAAAGUUGUCAAAAUAUCAUUGUCCUUAAAGUUUAUACACUUUCAAUAUUUAACAACAAAAUUGUCACUUUUUUUAUUAAUAAAUUUAUUGACGAAUUUUUUUAGUAAAUUACAAAUUAUCGAUGAAUUUAUUUAUGAAUUUUUUACGAAUGGAUUUACUUAUAGACUUUUUACUGGUAAAUAAAAUAUAAAUUAUCAACAUUUAAAUAUAAAUUUUGUAAUCAAUAAAUUAAAUAUAUAUUACAAACAGAAUUAUCAGCAAAAAAUCUGUCAUCAGUAGAUUUAUUUGUAAGAUUUAUCUUAACUCAUAUUUACUAACAAAUUUAUUUAUAUCUGUAAAAUUUUAUCGAUAAUUCUAUGAAUUUUGUAAUGUUUAGGAUUUCUAAUGUGACAAUAAAGACUAUUAUAAACUUACAACUAACACACAAGUGUAGACACUCAAAAUAAAAUUGAAUAUAAGUCCCAUACAGAUGAGAAAAAAAUAUUUACAAGUCCUCCAGUUAUCUUAGAUAUUCUAUAAGUCUUUUAUACUAAGGAAAACAGUUCAUGAGUGUUUUUAUGUUAUUAUCUCAAGACUAAACAAGUCUUUCACACACAAGAAAAAGAUCCACAAGUUCUCUAGGGAUUUUACCUAAGGAAUUAAAUAACACAAAAGAAAAAUGGUCAUGAAUGAUGUAGAAAUUCUUAUCCCAAGAUUGAGCAAGUUCCCUAAACAUGAGGAAAAAAAACAUGAGUGCUCUAAAGAUACUUGUUACAAAUAGUAAAUAAGUCUCUUAGGCAUGAGUGCUCUAAUGCUUUAAGAAUUCUACACACAAAGAAAAUGACCCUGAUGAGUGUCUUAGGCUUCUUAUCCCAAAGAUUGAAUAAAUCCUCUUUACAUGUAAAAAAGUAUAAGAAACUACCAAAAUUCCCGUCUCCACGGUUAAAGUAUCCUAAUUCAGAUACUUGGAGGAAGAUAUAAAGGUGUCCAUUUUUUAAAUACAAAGAGAUUACACUUUGAUUGAAGGUAACAAGUAAAACAACUUAAUGAACUAAUUAAUGAUUUCUUAUAAGGGUUAAAUAUGUUUUUGGUCACUUAAUUUUUUAGUGAAAAUUGGAAUUAGUCCAUUUUUGAAACUUUGGACUAAUUUAGUCCCUUAUCUUUAAAACUGCAUGAAUUUAGUUCCUUUAACCAAAUUUUGUUAAGUUUAUUUGAGGUUUCAAAUGCAUUUCUCAAUUAACAUUGAAAAAGAAAUGUUUUAAACAGUGUAAAGAACUCAAAUGCUAUCAUGAAAUACGUUUAAAAUGUCAAAUACACUUAACAAAAUUUAGUUAAAAAAACUAAAUCUACAUAUUUCUAAAGUUGAGGAACUAAAUUAGGUCAAAGUUUCAAAAAGAGACUAAUUCUAAUUUUCACUGAAAAUUAAGUAACCAAAAACAUAUUUAACCUUCUCACAAAGAUAACCCCUCUGUAAAAAAAAAAAUUAACACAUGAAAAAGAUUAUAGUCUUCUUCUAUUCAAUAAAUAAACCAUCAAACAUGAAAAAUAUGCAAAACAAUAACUCAACUUCAUAAAAGAAUAAGAUGUAAAAAAAAAAUCAUAAAUCUACGGAAGUCAUAGGAUAUGUCUAAAGUCACCAUCAUACUAAAAAUUACUUUAUAAAAGUCACCAUCCCUAUUAUUUAUCCAUGAUUUUUUCAUCUUCAACAAUUGUGAUGAAAUAUAGAUAAGAUUUCAACCUAACUUAAGCAAGUCUUAUCAUUAAGUCCAAAGAAUUAUGUAUUGAUAGAUAAGAUUUUGAUUUAUUUUAAGCAAGUCUUAUCAUUUAAGACUAAUAAGAUACAAAUAUCACCUGAUAAAUUACAAUAUAUUCAUAUUGUAAGAUUUUAUUACAAUUAAGCUGGGAUAAAUACAUAAUAUAUACGACUCAAAUUUGAAGAACAAUCUAAUAUAUCUUAUUAUAAAUAAUCAAGAUCAAAUAAUUGUUAAAUCAAGAUAAUAAUAAUAAAAAAAUAAAACGAAAAUCACAUAUACAAACCUUAACAUUAAGAAAAGAAUUAUAAGAAAAAAAAAUACUUAUAUAUAAAUAAGAUUGAUAAAAAUAAAACAAAAUACUUUAAUAUAGAUCAUUAUAUCAAAUUAUCUCCACAAAAGACAUCAUGGUAGUUGAAAGAAUUAUUGUUCUUAAUCAUUUUGAAGAAGAAAUAUUAUCAUAGAUAUAAUUGGGUUCAAAUUCAGUUAUCAUAACUAGAUAAAUAAAACUAGUAAUAUCUUCUUUGAUAAAGUAGUGAGAAUUUAAAAAAUAAAUAAAUAACCUUUAAAUAUUAUAUUUUUUGUUUUAAAACUUACACUUGCACUUAAGUAUUAUAAUAUAAACUUAAAUAUCAUCUUAGUUCGUUAUUGUUAAAGGAUUGAGUUUUUAUUUUGCUUAUUGUAGAAGGAUUUAUCGUCAUUGAUUUAUUUAUUUAAUAAGUGUUAUUAGGCUUAGAAAAUAUGAGUUGACUUUUUAUUUUGUUAAGAAUUGAAGUAAAAAUCCAUUUAUAAAAUGUUUGUUGAUAAUUUAUGGAUGAAUCAAAAAAUUUGUCAGUAUUUAAUAACAAUAAAUAUUUGUCAGUGAUUAUUGAUGUCCCAAAAUUUGUUGAUAAUAUUUAUCAGUAACUACUAAUAAAUUUUGAUUGUUUUUAAUUGUCAUUAGGUCUUUUUCUUUAUUGUCUUUUUUUAUUCUUCCUUGUAGCUCUUGAAAGAUCAUGUCUAUGGAAAGAGUGACUUUUGUGUGAGAUUGUGUGUAUUAUGAUGAGCAACCAAGAAAAAGUAAGAAGACUUAUAUAGUAGAGAGUCCACAAGUGACAAAAGUAAAACUAGAAAAAACAGAUAAGCGCGAGAUAGAAAAAGAGAACUUUCAACACAAUUGUAUUAUGAAUAUAAAAUGUGUAUAGGAAAAUGAUAUUUUAACAUCAUUUUUUGAUACCAUUUUGACACUGUACACGUGUACAGUGUCAAAAUGUGAUUGGACGAUUUCAAAUUAAAAAAAUUGAGGUAGGGAUAUAUUUGGAAGAAAAAAACCAAAGUUUGUUUUUUUAAUUUGAAAUCAUCUAACCACAUUUUGACACGUGUAAUGUCAAAAUGGUGUUAAAAUAUUAUUUUCCAAAUACAAAUUAGUAAAAGGAAAAUAAAAUUUUAACAGCAUUUUUUGACACCAUUUUGACACUGCACACGUGUCAAAAUGUGGUUGGACGAUUUCAAAUUAAAAAACAACCUUUGGUUUUUUUCUUCCAAACAUACCCCUGUCUCAAUUUUUUUAAUUUAAAAUUGUCCAAUCACAUUUUGACACGUGUGCAGUGUCAAAAUAGUAAUGGUGUCAAAAUAUCAUCUUCCUUCCCUGUGACACGAUCAUUGUGUCACUGGACAUAUAUAUGUCACACUAUAAAAAACUUUGACUUCUUCUCCUCUUUUUUUUUUUUUCUCUUAUUUAUUUAUUUCCUUUUCACUUAUCUCACUUAACUUAUAAAAGAACUCAUCACAUUUUCUAAAAAUUUUGUUGUUUUUUUACUAAUAGGUAAUAAGAAUUUUAUCAAUAGAUUUGGUCAAAACAAAAAAUGAGCAGUGUGUCACUCUUUCUAAUAACAUUUAUCGAUAAAAAAAAAUCUGUUAGUAAUAAUUACUAAUAAAAAAUAUUCAUCAAAAAUACAAAUUUAAUUUACUGACAUAUAUUAUUGACGAUUUUUAUGGAUGAAUUCGUUACUAACAAACAAAUAUUUGUGUUGAUAACUAAAAUUUUAAAAUUCUGUUGGUAAAUUUAAUUUUACCAACAUAUUUAUUUAUUUCGAUAAAAUUUGGUCGGUAAUUAUAAAUUCUUUUUGAGAAAUAAAAAAAUUAGUAAUAGAUAUGAAAAAUAAGAUUCAUAAACAUUAAUUAUUAGGGUUUUAUAUUUAAACGUUAAUAUAUUGAAGAUAUAUGUGUUACUAUUGAAACAACCUUUUAUAUAUGUUAUUGUUGAAACAAUUAUGAAAGAUAAUUCACUCAUUCAUUUAUUCAUAUUUUCCUUCUCUGAUGUACAUUUAUAUAAGCAAUAUUAACCGCUUAUACUUAAAAACAACUUAAAGCAAGAAAAACUUUAAAUAUUUAAAACUGCAACAAUAAUUUAAAUUCAAAUUCUAUCUUCAACACUCCCCUCAUAUUGGCUCAUGAAUAUCACUCAUGUUAAUGACUUCGGCAAACACCCGUCUAACACCAUAGCCAAGAAUCACCGUGGUCUGAACGUCCUAGGAUACCUUCAUACACAACAUGGGGAGAGUCCGAUACGAGAGGGGAGAGUCCAAUACGAGAGGGGAAGUCCGAUACGAGAGGGGAGAGUCCGAUAUGAGAAGGGAGAAAGAUCGUUGGUUCAGUUCGAAGAGAAAAGUUUCAUCAAAUCCAUCCUAGAAUGUGCAAAGAAUUUAAGGAUUGAAAACAGUAAGAAAGUGUGUUCCCAAAAUUAAAUACACAGGUUAAAGAAGAGAUUUUUAGAGACUCCUGGUGACCAUGGCGGUCCCCGGCAAACAGCAAAAACAAAGUAACAAAGGAUCAGACAACCUGAUAUCAUAUUGAAAUAAUUAUGGGAGAUAAUUCACUCAUUCAUUCAGACAUAUUUAUACUUAAAAAUAGGAAAUAAUUUCAAACAAAAAAACAACUUUAAAUAUUUAAAACUUAUUCUAUAAUUACUGUAAGAUUUUUAUUUUUUUUUAUGUUUAUUUUAUGCCCGACGUUAAUGGAAUACAUUAAUUUACAUCGAAUUAAAUAUAUCUGACGUAAAUUUAAAUCGAAUUAUCCUAGUUUUGAUGUAAAAGCCACAAUUUGCGUUAAAUUAUAUUAGGUCCAACAUAAAAAAAUUUGUCAUCGCUAAGUUUCAAUGAAAUAAAUAAUUAUAAACUUGUUUCAGUGCGUAUUAUGUAUCAUAUGAAAAAUUUUAAUAAAUUUGAAAAAAAAGUUUGUAAAUAGAGAAAUCAUAAAUUAGAUAUAAAAGACAAAAAAUAAGAUGUACAAAUACUAAAGUCGAAAAAUGACUAAAAUAUCUAAUUUUCAGUUCAUCUCUGGCUUCAAUAUCUUUAAACAUGUAGAAUUCAACCUUGUCUAUGAAUAACUCAUCUCUUUUUUAGUUAUCCAACUUUUAUCUUAAAUUUGAUUUUUAUACUCACUUUUUUUCAAUUUUAUAAAAAAUAUUUCAUUUGAUAAUUAACUCAUAAAAGUGAACAAUUUGUUCAUAUAUGAAUUUUUCUUAAACAAUUGAACCGUAUUACAAUGAAAAAGGAACCUCCGGUGGAAUUAAAGUGAAAAAAGGAAUUCUCAUUUUCACAAAGAAAUUAAAUUUUAAAAUCAGAUAAUAUGUGUUAAUUAAUUAUUGCAACAUUUUUCUUGUAAAUUAAGUUAAACAUUAACUUUUUCAAUCCGUGGAAGCCAUCAAGUAAACUUGACGAAGCAAGCCACGAAAAAGGUUCCAAUAUGGCCUUAGUUGCUUCUACACUCACAGAAUAGAACAACGACAAACCCCAAAUUCAUAGAUCGAACCUUCUCAAAACCCUAAUUCCACCGCGAAAUUAUUUUCCUUUAACCAGAUCUCAAUCCCAUGGCCAAUAAAGAGUUCAAAGUCCCGCCGGUGGCUUUCCCCUCCGCCGGAAAUCCCGGCGGCGCGGCACCAAACCUCCAGCAGCGUCGCAUGCCUGCUCCGCCGUUCCAACCGAACUCUGGCAUUCCAUUCAUGUCCUUCGAUAUAGGUUCCGCCACGGCGUCGACCUCCUCGGGACCAAUCUACGCUGGCCCCUCCAUUGGGGGCGGUGGCUCCGCCAACUUCGACGAUGAGGAACCCCUUCUCGACGAGCUCGGGAUCCACCCAGACCAAAUCUGGAGCAAAAUCAGAUCUGUUCUGAACCCGUUUCGCGUCAACCACACGGUUCACAAAGACUCGGAUCUAUCAGGUCCAAUCCUCCUCUACAUGUCAUUUUGCCUCUUCCAAUUGCUCGCGGGAAAGAUCCAAUUUGGCGUGAUCCUGGGCUGGAUCGUGGUCUCUUCCAUUUUCCUUUAUUUCGUUUUCAAUAUGCUAGCCGGUCGAACAGGUAAUCUCGACCUGCACACCUGCACCAGUGUCGUCGGUUACUGUAUGUUGCCGGUGGUUAUUUUCUCCGCGCUCUCGCUCUUCUUGCCAGUGGAUGGGGUCAUUCGCCUUUCGGUCGCUGCGAUUUUCGUGCUGUGGGCCACGAGGGCUUCCACGGGUCUCGUCGUUUCGCUCGCUGAUGGAGGUGAUGAACAUCGAGGAUUGAUUGCGUACGCGUCUUUCUUGAUUUACACUUUGUUUUCGUUGCUUGUCAUAUUCUAGGGAUGUCGAUGGCACUGAGAUUUUUGGAUCCCUGUUCCUAUGGUUUUAGUUCUUCCUGCAUUGUGAACGUUGUAGUUUUUUUUGGUACAGUCUUAUUAUGGUAUAGAAAAUGGAGUUAUUAGUUUGAUUGAUUGUCUGUGUUUGAAAAGUUUUUCCUAGGUUACAUGCGUGCGUGUUGUGGAGCCAUAUAUAUAAAUAUAUAUUUAAUUUACCUUUUUGUUCUGAUUUUGCGAGGUUAUUGGUAAAUCUUCUUGCAAUCACGGUGUUUGUAUGUGACUGAGUGGUGCUAGAACGAAGGUCACAAGUUAUUAGCUAGCGAAUUGUGUGCUUAUCUAAAUUAGAGGUGGGUGUGCUUAGGUAAAUGAUAAACUCAGAUACAAUAUUACUAGUAUUAUUCUCCAAUUAGAAUUAGAGUUGGAGUUUCGCUUAAGUAAUCCACGUAAUAAAGGAUUCUGUACCGAGGUGAUACUCCAAAUUUAACUAGAUAAAGAUACUAUCCAUACUAUAGUACUACAUCUAAGUUUUGUCCUUUAGGUAAAUAGCUCAAUCAAGCAGUUGUUUAGCUGUUUGGUGUAAACAACUUGUACUUGUGUAUAAGUUAAUUUAUGUAAAGAGGAAAUAGGGUCAAAUUGUUUUCAUUCAGGUUGUAGGCUGUUUCAUACGUUAAAGUUGAAGAACUUAUUGCAGUAAGUUGAAAAAAUAGCUUAUAAACAUGUUAUGAUCUGAUUUUGUAUUUCACAUACUUGUACAACUACUUAUGUUAUUAUAAUAUAAAUCUAGAUAAGCUGUAAAUGAACUCUUACAAAUGCAUCUUAGUCAAACAGUUUGGGCUCUUCAAUUUACCUUAAUGAGAGAUUCAGUAUGAAUGCUUAGUGACCGUAGCUUCUAGCAAUGCCGCUGGGCUAAGGGGAUUUCAACUCAUAAGUAACAUGAUUUUGUGUGCUGGAGUUAUGACUAUUUGUUUGGGAGCAGGAAGAGGCUUUUAUAAAUGUAUACACUAGAAGGAACAAGAUAGCUAUUAGUUGAUUGGAAGUUGAGUAUAAAUCCGAGGGAGAUAUUGGACAAAGGGACAAUUGUAUUGUAAUAGAAAACCGUAUUGAGUUUUAAGGGGCAUUUUCCUUGGAAGGGUGUUUAUUGUGAAGUGAUACCCUUUAUUUCAUUCUCUACUAAGACUCACCUUCUUUGGUUAUCACCUAUGAAAUAUCAGCUUUGACAAACACAACAGGACAUGGCUAAUGUUCAAAAUAGAGGAUACGCGAACACAUCUAUGUAUACAUACAUAUAAUCAACUCGGCAAAAACCUUAAUUAAGAAUUAAGAUUUAUAUUUAUAUUCAUAUAACUCACAUUCUAAAAGCAAAUUUAUUAAGCUUUAUAAUUUUCAUAUAAUGAUGACUCUCUCAGAUAAAGUACCAAGAAAAACAUAUCUCUUGAUAGUUACUAGAAGUAAUUAAGUUCUAUGAAAAUGAGCUUGACUAUAAAAUGCUUUGAUUCUUGCUAUGUUUGUCUUUUGGGCUUAUCAGCUAUGAAACAUCAACUUUGACACAGACAACAGGACAUUACUAAUGUCCAAAAUAUAGGAUACGCAACAUCUCUAUGUAUACAUACAUAUAAUUAACAUGAAAAAAAAAUCCUGAUUAAGAUUAGGAGUUAUAUUUAUAUAAUUCAUAUUCUAAAAACAGUUGUUAAGCUUUAUAAUUUUCAUAUAAUGACGACUCUCUGAUAAAAUACCAAAAAGCAUAUUUCUUAAUAGUUACAAGAGGUAAUUAAGUUCCGUGAAACGAGCUUGACUAUAAAAUGCUUUGAGUCCUGCAAUAUUUAUAAUGGAAGUUGAUAUUUUUAUGAUAGGAGUGUCUCGAAAGUCUUUAGCCCCCAACAAUAAGUAUUAGUUUCACUGUUAGAAAUGUGUCCGUGUUGUAUUGAGUGUUUGGGUCUAAAAGAAUAAUUUUAAACGUGACAAUGUUUAUGGGUGUCAGGCGUCUGUCAAAGACAUGUCUAACAACAUGCCAGACACGCUGACACACUGCUCUAUAGGGUAUUGGUGGGUGUUUAUUAUCUCUAUUUAACUGGGGUAUAUGGUUCUUUCCUUUGAUGAUGGUAUUGGCUUGUUACGUUGAUAGAUUGUUUUGACAACAUUAAUAUUUAUGAUAACAUACCUUCAAAUUCACCAUGAUUAUGAUGGAUGGAAUAUACUUCGUAAGUAGCAUCUGGAAAAGCUGUAGAGUGUUGGCUUUGUGUUGAAGGAGCUUUAAGUAUGGUAAUGCAGCUUGAGACUUGGAUUGUCAUAAAUCUUUCACUAUCAAAGUUUUCCAUGUGCAAAGCAACCUUUAGGUGCAAAUUCCAUUUUGAUGUUCAUUUGCCAGCUUGCAGAAACAUACUGAAAUCUUGUUCUCAAUGUUUUGUAAUCCGGUAGCAAAUUUGAUUGGGAUAUUAUCUAUGAAACUUAAUAGUUUGCAGCAUGGAUAUCACAUUUUUAGCUCCUAGAAUUUAGUUUAAGAAAUAGUUCAAUUUUAUAAAGCUAACUUGUAGCAUGAGGACUACCUAAACUUUCCAACACCUUCCUCAUGUUUAGGGCUAUUGGUAUGUAGCAUGCCAAUUGUAAGUUUGUUUAUUAAUAUCAUGUUAGAAUUUAGGUUUAAAGUUUAAUUCAGUAUCGUAAAAUUGACUUUUGAGAGUUAAGACGAGGACUCUCCAAACUUUGAGUUUUAAUUAAGUUAUAUAUCUAAUCAAUACACACCGCCCUUGAGGAUGCAAUUAAGACACCUCCCCAAAGGAGGUCACAAGUAACGUGGUGGAGGGGUAACUGCAAUCGAGGUGGAUUUCCAUACUUUCCCCCUUAUUUAGUAGCACAUAUUUGAUCUAGAAUAUGGAUUCCGUGCUUUGAAUUGAAAUUCCUAAGGACUAAUAAUACAGACUGAGAGAUUAAUUUUAUGGAUGUAAUUAAUAAUCAGAGUUAUUACCGAGUAGAAUGAUGAUUUUGCUGGUUUAGUUGUAAACUGAAUUUAGUCAUUACGUAUUAGUCUGCUUAUUAGAUAUGCAGACUGAAUUUUUAUAUGAAAUAUUGAUUUUGUAAUUACAAUGAAUAUUUGAUUAUUACUUAAUUCCAGUUUUACCAAGUUUUGGUAAUUCUUAUAAACCUCUUGUAGUCGUUAUCUUCAUUAUCAUGUUGAGACGCUGCAACUUUUUCUAUUCUGUUGAAGUUGAUGGUUUUCGCGUUAACUGUGUCACGAUAUUGGUUAAUCUGAUUGAACUGUUACUCCUUCAGAAUCGGGCCUAUUGAGUGUUUGGUUUUGCCUACAGAUUGUAGGAUUAAUCCUCCUACACACCCUUAAAAUCUAUGGGUACCUCCAUCCAUUCCUGAGCAUGCUUUCCCGAAUGUAUUUUACAUUUCAGGAAAGUACAUUUUGAAAUAAAUAACAAGUGUUUCAAGAAUUUUAUAGGGUGUAGGAAAAAGUAUCCCAGACUGUAAUGCUCUUAGGCUAUUUUUCGUUAUAGUUUAAUACCAAUAAAAAAAUUCAGGGAAUUGAUAAAAUAUGUUUUUAUUCUCUAGAAUAAAUUAAUUAAAACACUCAUUUUUUGGUAUUGUGUACGGCCUCCCUCUGGGAGCAUAAAAGGUUCAUAGAAUCAGAACGCAAAGGAGGUAAGCGAUCUAUAUGACUAAUGUGCUGCGAUAUAUCAUAUAGGGCUUGAACUGUCUCUUGUUUGGACCUAUGGUGGAUUAACAUCAUGGGUGUUGAUAGAUAGAGUUGAGUUUAAUUAAAACCACCUUAGAAAGAUAUGUAAUUCAGACUUUAGAAGGAUGUUCAAUUAUCUCGGAGUCAUUCUUGAUCUAAACAAGAGGCAAUUUAGGAUUUGAACCUUCGACGUAUUACGGACCAUGUGGGAUGUUCAAUUAUGUUGUUGUAUCUAAAGAGAAAGGAGGAGGAAGAGUGGAGGGGACAAGAAAUCAUAACAAAAUACGAAUGUCAAGACCGAAACGAAGUUUGGUGGAACGCUUCAUCAUCUGGGUAGGUUUACAAAAUAUGCAUUCAGCUUUUCUUUUACGAGGCCUCAAAACUACAAGGUUAUGGUAUAUGGGAGAUGAUGACCUGGUUCCCAUUUUAAACAAAUACUGGCACAAAUGGGGAAGUUGAUUCUGAUAUACGAAGCAACAUCAAACUUUGAUAGGUUGGAAUUGGCAAAAAUAUUGGUGAAUAAGAAUCUGAGACAAUUGUAGCAUAUAACGGGAUGCCUGAAAGUUAAGAGCAAGACACAAGUGACAGGAAAGAUAUGCAAUGACAUUGAAAGGGAUAAACAUAGCAUUGUUUUAGAAAAGAGUACGAGGGAAUUGGGGCCUAAUGCAAUGAUCCGUAGAAGUGUGGUGUGUGGGCCAAAGAGAGAGGUAAGACAUUAAACAGAUCGAACUACCCGGUGUUGUCCUUUCACCUCUCCAAGUGCUCCUCUACCUCCUCAUUAUUUUCAUUUAUUUAAAAAUUCUACACAUCGUCACUAUUUUUUUUUAUUCCAAAAAUAUUCUACACUUCCUCACUAUCCUCAACAAUCUUUCUCUUUCUCUCUACAUUAAUGGAGCAUUCACAUGGUUCAUAUUUGAAUUUGUGAUAUAUUACAAAAUAUAAAAUUAAUAUUAAUACUUUCACCAUUUUUAUUUUAUAAAAUUAAAAGUUAGAUGUAAAUACAAAAUAAUAAAUAUAAUAAUAUUAAUAGUAAAUAAUGAUAUAUUAUUAUUAUAUACUAACUUUAUAAUGACGAAAGAACUAAAUAAAUUCUAAGUCUUUAACAAAUAACUUUUUUUUUAUAUUUUAAGUGUUUAAUAAUAUUUUUAUAUUAUUUAUUUAAUAAAUUAAAUAUUUUAUUCAAGUUAUUUGAGUCAAACAUGUCAGUGAAACAUAAUAUAAUCUUAAAAAUUAUAGAUAUUAUAUGUAGAAAAAUACACACAUAUAUAUAUAUAUGUAUAUAAACAUUUUUUCUAGAAAUUUAUAACAAAAUUUUGACAAGAAAAAAAAUAUAUUCAACAGCGGAAAAAAAGAAAGAUUGUUAAGGAUAGUGGGGAGGUGUAGGGUAUUUUUAAAAUAAAAAAAAUAGUGGAGAAAUUUAAAAUAUUUUUGAAAUAAAUUAAAAUAGUGAGAAGGUAAAAGACCCGUUUGGAGACGUGGAAGGAGUAACACCUUAAGAAUUAUUAAGAAUUAUGGGUUAAUUUCAUUGACUCUUCACCUGCAAUUCUAUGAGCUAGUAUGCAUGAACAAAAUUUUAAAAUAAUAAUUUAUAAUUUUGUUUUAAUGUUUCACUUUUUUGUUGCAUUCCAUGAGUGCAUCGUUGACAUUAAAAUUCAAAUAAACUAAGUAAAUAUAAAAUUAAAAUCUAUAUCAAAUAAAUAUGUUAAAGUCAAAUAUUUUAUGAAUAAAGAAGUAUAAAAAUAAAUUAUUAAAUAUAAAAAACCUAUAUCAAUUAAUCAACGUUAAAUACAAACAAAAAAGAGAACAGGAAUUCAAACAUAAAGUGAAGAAAUAACAAAAUAAAAUAAAAGUUUUAUUUGACUUACAAAUUAAAAUAGAAUAUAUAUAUUUUUGUGGGUGAUACACGGUAGUUCAUCCUAUCUUGUUGGUCGACAUAUUCUACAGGUCAUAAAAGAUGACAAGUAAACAUACUAAAUUACUGUUCCUUAUUUUUUUUCUUGUAAGCUUGCGUACCGAACCACGUAACUCGUAUUUUUUCUUGGUCGACAUAUACUAAAUGUUACUCCCUCCGUCAUCCCAUCUGCAUCUCUUUAUUGUUUUUCUUAUUUCAAAAAUAUUCUACAUUUUUUCAUUAUUUUAUUCUAUUAUAAAAAUAUCCUAAAUCCUCAACAAUCUUUUUCUUUAUCUCUCUAGAUUAAUAAAACAUUCAUAUGACUCACAUUUGAACUUGUGAUAGAUUGUAAAACAUAAAAUUCAGAUUUUGUUCUAAAUUUCUAAAAAAACAUUUAUAUAUAUAUAUAUAUAUAUAUAUAUAUAUAUAUAUAUAUAUAUGUGUGUGUGUGUGUGUGUGUGUGUGUGUGUGUUUUUACAUCUAAUAUCUAUAAUUUUUAACAUUAUAUAUUAUUUUAACUUACCAACAUGUUUGACUCAAAUAACUUGAAUAAAAUAUAUAAUUUAUUGGAUAAAUGACAUAAAAAUAUUAUUAAAUACUUAAAAUAUAAAAGAAAGGUUAAGAAUUUAUUUAGUUCUUUUGUCAUUAUAGAGUUAGUAUAUAAUAAUAAUAUAUUAUUAUUAUUUAUUAUUAAUAUUAUUAUGUUUAUUAUUUUGUAUUUGCAUUUAACUUUUAAGUUUAUAAAAUUAAAGUGGUAGAAGCACUAUAUUGAGUUUUUCUCUAAAGUUUAUAUUUUGUAAUAAAAUACAAAUUCAAAUUUAAGCAUGCUCCAUUAAUGCAGAGAGAAAGAGAAAGAAAGAUUAUUGAGGAUAAUGGAGAGAUGUAGAGUAUUUUUGAAAUAAAAGAAAAUAAUAAAGAUGUGUAGAGUAUUUUUGAAAUAAAAAACAAUAGUGUAAGGUAUAGGAACACUUAAGGUGAUGCAUAGAACAAUACCCGAUAUAUAAUUAUAGAUUUCAAAAUAAGUUUUAAAUUAACAAUAGUCUAAUUAUAAUACAAAUAUUGAUAAUCUUAUUUUGCUUUAAGUUAAUUAAUAUCAGUAAAAUGAUGAUCGUAUGAUCUAUCAUGUAGAUGUAACCAUACGACCAGGUAAUAAUAAAAUCUCAGUAAUAUUAUACUUUUAGUUUAAGACCGUGCAAUCUAUUUUUUUUAAACAAUCUUUCAGUGGGUAAUAAUAGAAUCUAUCUUCAAUUAAAACAUUAAUGAUUAUAGGGUAAAAACAUGAGACACGAUGCAUUUUAUAUCAUAUUUAUUAACUUAUACUUAAAUAAAUUAAAUAAUAUGUGAUAAUUUCGAGAACAUAACACGAAGAAUAAACAGUGACUGCAAUUUUAUAAAUAUAUAUUGUACGAAUAUGUAUAAUAUUCCAAUUCCGUAAAUAAGAUUACAUUAUUCAUAUAAAUUCAUUUUCUGGAUUAUAUUGUUUCUAAAAUCAUAUAAAAAAAUAUAAUUAAGUCCAAUCGAAAAAUUCAAGUUACAAUGUUCUUAACAGUUCGAAUAUUGCUUUUGGUUCAAUUUUAUGAUUUGUAUUAUUUGAUCAGUAUAGUUAUAAUAUGUUUUCCUUUAGAAUCAGCUUAAGUGUAAUCACGGCAUCCCUUCUCACAUAUUAAAAUAUGAUUUUUAUGUCAAAAAUUGUUGACACAGUUCACCACUUGUUUCUCUAAAGUAAGUAUUAGAGUCGGACUUUUUUACUUGAAAAUAGGGCCACCAUUAGAAAUAACUUUUAUUCAUCACAAAUAAACUGAUUCAAGUAAAUUUUUAUAUUUAAAAAAAUAAAAAGUAAAAAUAAUAUUAAAUGAAUAUAAAAAAUUUAUGUAUGUAAGAUUAUCAGUGUUUAUUAUUAUGUAUGGAUAACUCUGUGUAUACAUGAGUGUGUUGACAGAUGUAUUUUAAAGUAUCAUAACCUAAUGCAUAUAUGAGUGUGUUUACAAAUGUAUUUUUUUUGUGUGUAAAAUGUUAAUUUAUUUCAAAAUAACGUCAUUUAAUCCUUCAUAGCUUGAAGCCCUUCUUUGAUUUUUUGUCUUGGAAUCCUUCAAACUAAACUUAAAAAAGACAGGUCUAGUUUAUAUAUAUAUAUAUAUAUAUAUAUAUAUAUAUAUAUAUUAUUAGUGCAGAAAGAGCUUUAGACGUAAGUUAUUGUGGGCUUUUAACGUCACUAUCAGAAUUGAUGUCUAUAUGGUGAUGUUAAUAGGACGUCGGUUUUUUGUAAAGACAAGAUCGAUAUAGACGUCUGUUUAGUUACAAGCCCGACGGCUACAAAGACAUCUGACAAUGCGCUAACUGACGUCUAAUCUUACUUUAGACGUCGGGCUGUAGAACUUGGGACGUCUAUAAAGCCGUCGAACUUUGCAUUAACCGACGUCUUUGGGACAUCAUAGACGUCAGUUUGUACAUUAACCGACGUCUAUGAAGUGAUCGUUGUGUUUUGGUGCGGUUUUUGUCGUGUCUUGGGGUAGCGUAGUAGCAUCUCCUUCCUUUGCUAGUUUCUUCGUAAGAAAAAGUUGUCUUUUGGACUUCUCAUGGUAUUUCAACCCAAAGACAAACUUGGAUCGUUGCCAUUCCGACCGCCACUAAAAAAGAAUACGGUGAGAAUACACCGUAAACUUUUUCGUUGACGGUUGGAAUGGACAUAGGCAACAACCCAAAUUCGUCCUUGGAUUGAAAUGCCGUGAGAAAUCCAAAAAACACAAGUUUUCCUUAUGAGGAAACUAGAAAAAGGAGAAGGUGCAUUAUGCUACACAAAGACACAACAAAAAAACUGCAUCAAAACACAACGAAAACUCAUUUUAAUCAGUUCAAAUGAGAGAUAAUACAUUAAAGAUUACUUUAAUCAGAGUAAAAAAAACUUUGAAUAGUUAAAAGGAGAGGAAACUUACUUGGAAAUGCAGAGCAGCUGAGAGAAAACACAAAGACGAUCAAAGUGUUGGUUUGCAAACCAUUGGUUCGCAGUGUUAUAUAACAAGAAAUUAGACGUCUGUUGUGAACAAAACCGAAAUCUACAAUGGCAAAUACGUCGGACGCCUGACUAAUUUGACAUCCAUUCGAUUUAAAAAUUAAUAUUUAUUUUGUAUAUAGACGUCGGCUUUGAGGCAUGAGACGUUUCGUGGGCGGAAACGAAUGACUUUUCACAUACCUGGUAGGAUUAUAGAGUUCGGCACCUGAGGCAACGAACGUCUAUAUGUCUGACAGGUUGGUGAGUAGCAUAAUUUCCGCCAUAUAGACGUCGGACCCCAUCAAUGUGGCGGGAUCCGACGUCUAUAAAACUGAAAUUAAUGCUACUCACCAACCUGUUAGACAUCAGUUAGCAGCAGCCCGACGUCUAUAUGUCUGACAGGUUGGUGAGCAACAUUAAUUUCCGUUAUAUAGACGUCGGAGUCCCGACUAACUGACGUCUAUAACGCUGAAAGAAAUGACUUUCCAUAUUAUAUUCAGAAAUAUAAACGUCAGGUUGGAAGGACCGACGUCUAAAAUACUACAUACAUCAGAGAUUGAUCUAAAAAAUGCCUAUAUUAUCAAUUUAUUUACGAAAAUGUCAUCAGUUAUCAAUAUACAUCGAACUUACUUUUAACCGACGUCUAUAAGGUGAUUCAUCAGCGUUUUUGUCCUGGUGUAUAUUAAUGUUAUGUGAGAAAUAAGACUUGAGUUAUCUUUUAUAGAACUGAAAGUGAAUUCAAAUUUAUAUGUUUUAAGUUUAAUCGAAACCUGCACUGUGUUCAGUAGACUGGAAGGUUUAAUCAGGCAUUUAAAAGAGUACAGACGCGAAGGGUCAAUCGAUCAAGUUAGGAAAAAGCAGAUGUGAAAGAGGAGGAAAGUGAGAAUAGGAUGAAAGUUUUGGCAUCUGAGUGGUGGCAUAUAAUAUAUUAAUUUUAUUGGGUUGAAAAGGUUGUUGUGAAAGAGAAAGUGAAAAGGAAGGAAGAAGAGAAACCCUAAACUAAUAAAGGAAAGGAAAGGAGAUGGCGCACCAAACCUCUUAUUGGUUUAUAUAAGAUGACCUCAUAGGAUUAUCCAGGAGGUAAUAAUAAUACACGUAGUACACUAUAAUACAGAAGGUACACAUUGGAUGUGAAAGUAAAAGCAUAGCAUACACACUAGUCAAACUAGAUAAUGAUUAACUUGGUUCAGCGAGUUAUUUGAGGCACAUGUGAAGCGAGUUACUGAAACUCCUUUGUACUUAUCGCUUUAUUCAAUACUACACUACUACUUGUUGCAGUGGUAAAUAAGACCAAGCAGAGCUAAGAGGUAUAGCUAGGAAGCUAGCUAGCGUCUUCUUGCAGCCGUUUCCCUCUGUGCAUUGAAGUAGACAGCAGCCACUGGGAGCCCAAGCUCGUUCUGUGCUGCGAAACUGCGUGUGUUGAACUGAUCCCUUGAAGUUGGUGGAGUAACACACUGCCUACGCUUUUGCUUGAACAGGACAAACACAAACCUAUGGAUCCCAAUAUUAGGUUUCGGGAUCUCAUAGCUCACCAACUCUUUCCCUACAAAAAAAACAUCAUAUUUCGUUUGUCAGUCUCUCUCAUCAUCCGAUCAGCACACACAGCAAGUAAGUUUCCACAUAUAUAUAUAUAUACACACACACACAUUUUUCCUAGUAGAUCAAUCAUUUACAUGAACCUACCAAAUGUAGCAUCUGUUGUGCCUGGAAUGUCUGUCACUAUCCUGCAAAAAGAAUAUUUACAACAAAAUUAUUGACUGUUAGAUAACUAAGAAUACUUUACCUUAUGUGUGUGUGUGUGUGGAUGCAGUUCUGUUAUGUUUGUUGUUGAGACAUCGAGAUUUAUUCACCCUUUAAGACUGUUUUUUGUUUUAGGGUGGGUGGACGAAGAUGGUAGCUAGAAUAGCCAACUUCUUACAACUUUUACAGAAUACAAAGGUAUGUAUACAGUAUACUUAUAUGUUUAUUACCUCUAUAGUUUGAUGUUAUGAAUGUCGGGUGUUAAACCGGUUCCUUACUUUCAAAGUGUUAAAUGUCAUAAAAUUUUCAUUUGGGUAGUCUAAGUAUAUUUAAACGAAGUUUAUCCUUAUGUUAAGUACCAGUGCAAGUGUUCUCUCAGAUAAGGGUCACUAGGGCCUGGAACAUCAGGGUCUGUCAUGAUCUGCGCCAAAAAAGAGACAUUUUAGUUUAAUGAUUCAGUGUUUUGUAAAGGGCAGACUUUCAUUAAAAGAGACAUAAUGCGUGAGCAUGAUUGAAGAUAUAUGUAUAUAUAUAUAUAUAUAUAUAUAACAACAAAUAAGAAAUAACAGCUGAAGCAUUUAAAUUAUUGAAGUUAUAAUUUGUUGUUUAAAGAAAAAGAGGAAGAGAAAUAGAUACCAGUGUGAAAAAGGAUCUCAUAUCAUCACCCUCAAUCUCAACCUUGGGUUUGAUGUUGAUAGAUGAAGGGAAAAACUCAUGGCCAUUGUAGACUUGCUUUUUGUUAUAAGUCACAGUCAUUUUUGUGGUUGUGGUAAAAGAGUCAAGAACCUCUCCUAUGACUCUCCCCACUAUAAGAGGUUCCAAAGGCAUUCUUGCCAUUACAAAUAAGGUUUAGAGAACAAAGUUUAGAGAGUGAAACUGAGGAAUACAAGUUGAUAGACCUGCUUAGAAAGCAUGUCUUAGCUCCAUAUUUAUAAUGUCUUCCAAGCUACAGUGUUUCCCCUUCCUUUAAAUAAUGCUGCAAAAAUUCAAAAAGCUAAAAUAAACAAGAUUAUUAAUAAAUCAGGUGCAUCCGUGCAGGUUCUGCCAUCACUCUUAACAUAUAUUAAUUUGGCACAUUUCAUAAUUGCCUUUGGCUCUAGGAUGUUUGUGCUGAAAUAUCACAUUACUCAUCAACGUGACAAAUUAGCCUUGCCCUUCUCUCUCUCUCUCUCUACUCUGCUCCUAAACACAGAAGAUGGGUCCCUUCGAAUAGGUUCUUAAUUGAUUGGCUGUACAAAGAUGCAUGGAUUUCUCACUCAAUAAAGCAUUUUUCUUCUCUUUCUUGUCUAUACCGCAGUUGUAAAAAAUACGAAAGAAAGAAAAUUCCUGUUAUUUUUUUUUCCUUUCUAAUUCGAUCAAGUCAGAAAAAGCAUCAUGUGAAAUCCUGUGUGUGGGUCCUUUCCCUUGCAAGUUGACAAGCUUCUCCCCUUUUAUUAAACUAAAAGCAUAAAAAGGAAAAAUUCUGAGAAACGGUGGCUGGCUAGGCCUCUUGAACAACACCCACAUUUUUAGCAUUAGUUCCAUGGACUUGCAGAAGUUUUUGGUGUAUGCCUUGCGUAGAGAACCUUCCUUAAUAGCAUGCAUACAAAAUAGAAAUUUGUUUUUGUGGGUUCUUUCUUUUAAUAUUGUUGGAAGAUAUUCUUGAGGAAGAGAGCAUAAUUAAAGGAGGUCCACCAUAAAUGCUGGAGGCUACACAUGGCUAUGGGACUAUCAUGUGUGAGUGCCUAUGAGGUCUUUUCAGAAUAAAAUUUAACUCUCACUAAGAUUCAUUCCAAGUUCCAAGAAUGGUAAAAGAGAAGGUCGACCUUCUUCUUGUAGAAACCAUUUUCCUCGUGUUAUUCAAAUCCUGUUUGAAUUCUUUUGCUGGUGAAAUGGGUUUGAUCACAUAUUCUAAGAAAAUAAACCCAUUGGUUCGUACGUAUAAUUAAUUUAGCAGACUUUGGUUUUAUAUUAUCAUGAUUUGAAAGAAAGUCGAAUAUAUAGACCGCUUAUUGCAUAAACUAAUUGCAGGUAUCGUUUCACUGUGAAAACAUACAUUAUUUAAAUUUCAUGGAGCUUAUGAUAUUCUAACAUUUGUUCGUCUGAAACUCUUUGUUGCCUCUUUUGGUUUUGAGUUCAUAUUCAUGUUUCCAAAUUUGGAUAGUUUAAGUUUUCUUUCAUAAAGUUUCAAUACCAUUAUACUAAUUAAGUUGCUUAUGUUUAUCUUUUAGUCACUAUUUUCUUCGUUUAACUUUAGCAGAACUUAUUGUGUCGAUUAAGCACAGAAUAUUCCUUAGUCAUAUUGGUAUUAUAUACAACAGAAUUUCUUUUUUUUUUUUUGCAUUUUAUAUUUAGCUUUAUAUACUUUUGGUAUAAAUUUUAUAGUAUAAGCUAAUUAAACAUUACAUAAACUAACAUUUUUUUUAACUAUGUCAUAGUUCACGAUUUGAUUAAAAUGUAAACUUUGUGUACACUAUCAUUGUAUUCCAAUUAAUUUCAAAUAAUAUAGAAAAUAUGAAUACACAAAAAAAUAGACAAUUUUGAAGAGGUUAAAUUGAUUAUUUCAUCGUGUAAUUGUUUUUUUUUUUUUAAUUUUGAUAAUGUAUAAUACAAUCUAAAUUUGUUAUACAAUGUUGUUCACUGUAAAAUUACUUUCUCACGAUAUACAUCUUGUUCGUGUGUGGACGAGAUGAUAAGAAAUCAUACCAGAAAAACAAUUUUUUUUUAUUCUUUUGGUUCAGCUUUAUUAUUUAAAAUAAAAAAGGUCUGAAAAAUCUUAUCAUAAAUUUUGUUUUUUUGAGUUUCCACCCCUCUAAUUUGAUGACAUGAAACAAUUCUAAUAAUAAAAAAAAAUAGAUUCUUAUUUAUAUAACAAAUGAAUUUUUAAACUUUUAAAAAUUAACUUAUUUUCAAAAUUAACAAAAAAAAUAUAUAUAUAAAUGUAGGUACAGUGUGAAAAAAGUUGUAUGAACUUAAGAAAUUUAUUUUUGAAAUGAAAAAUUGUUAUAAUUCUUAAAUUUAAACCAACGGUUUAUUGUUCACUGAAAGUAAAUUAAAAGCUUAUGAAUAGAUUUUCCAUGGAAGAUGUUUUGAAGAAUUGCGGUGGGCAGCACGCAUAAGAAAAGUAUAAAUUGUGUAGUUAUUAAUAAAUGUCUAAACCCUGUGGCAAUUUUUAUUUUUAAAUAAGAACAUUAUCAAAUUCUAAUGAAACAAAUCAUUUUAGUUUUAGUAAAUAGUUUAAUACCUUAACACCACGACACAUUUUUCUUUGCAUUUUUUCAAGACUAAGAAUUUAUCUAAUAAACACGUCUGUUGGAUCACGUUUUCUUUUUAAAUUUUAUUUUUCUAAACUUUAGAAAAUUAGUUCUAUUUAUGUUAUAUAUAUAAGAUAAAGUGGUAAUUUGAAUGUAUUUUAAAAAUUAUACAUUUUUUUAUUAUUUUAAAUAAAAUUCUGUUGAAAAAUACCAUAUAGCUUAGCAGUCAAUUCUAUUAAAAUUUGAAGGCAUAAUAGACCUUUUUUUAAUUAAUUUUUUGUCAUAAGCUAUAGAAUAAAACUAUUUUUCUUUGGGAAACCAAGCACAAAUUUUCUAGAAAUGAUGUGUUUUUACUUCAAUUGGUUUAGAUAAUUUAUUUAUUGAUUAAAAAUAUUUUUGUUUUAGCUCUCUUUUUUUGAAAGGUAAUGAAAAGUAUUAAUUUGUUUAAAUGAUAAUAAUUUUGUUACAAUUUAUUAAAAAUUACUAAAUUUAUUUACAUUUUUUUAUGUAAAAUUAAAUCUAUUAAAAGGAAUUAUUAAUUGUAUAUAAGUUAGUAAUCAUGUUAGAAAAGAAAUGCUUACUAAAACUGACAUAUUGAUUCAACUUAUCACGAAACUAGCCAAUCGUUUGAUGACUCAACUAGACGAAUUGAUAUUAAUUAACAUAAUAAUUAAAAACAAUACCAAAAAUAUAUACAACUAAAUGCAUGAUUAAGAUUUUUAUUAUUUUGGUAUCUUUAUAUAUAUAUAUAUAUAUAUAUAUAUAUAUAUAUAUAUAUAUAUAUAUAUAGAUAAUCUGUGUACACUGUUAUUUGCACGUAAAUUAAUAGUUUAUAAGCUUGUAAUAGGUUUGUUGAAUUGGAUAGUGAUGAGUUGGAUGUCUUUGUGAAAACCCUAUAUAGAUUCACGUCUAAAUUUUUGAUGAAUGGGGAUGUUUUGUUGCAUGUCUUAUAGUACGUACUUGACUGCUGCUAUACAUGAUUAUUUGUUCAUUGAACUUUUUAGGUUACUUGUCUACUUAGUGUUGGCACAAAUUAAGAGAAUAAUCUGUACUUCACAACGGUGGUGGCUGCAACCCUAGUAAGCUUCUUUUUUUUUCUUCAUAGAGCUAAUACGAUCUUUAGCCAAUGUAACAACUAUCAUGUUUUUUAAACCUAUUUUCGAAUUAGAUCGAGCCACCUUCUAAUAACCCUAGCUAAUUCUGACACACAAGCUGUAAACCUAACGUGUUUCUUUUAGUGACUAUAGUUCUUUCCUAAAUUAUGAUCCAUGACCCCACAUAUGCAUAUGCAAUCAAAACAAAUUAAAUUCAGUUGAAUUAAUAUUAGAAUAAAUACAUAUUCAUGCUCAUUAAUUGAUUUUAGUUAAACUUGUUAAGAAAAAUGUUAACUUUCUUUAGUUUCUCUGCUUGAAUCUUUACUGUUGAAAACUUACAUUUAUAUUUUUUGUUUCAAAAAAUAAUAAAAUCUAAUAUUUGAUCAAGUAUCAUCCCAUAGUUCUUUAUAGCCUAACUGUGACCAUUGUUGCAAAUAAUCAUUAAUUUUCAAUGACAAAUUUAACAUAUUUUUUAUUUAUCUAUGUAAAAUAAAAUAUUCUACAUAUAUAUAAACACAGUAAUUCACAACGUAAUUAAAACUAAAAACUAAAAAAUUAUAUAUAUAUAUAUAUAUAUAUAUAUAUAUAUAUAAUAUGUAUGUAUGUAUAUAAUUAAUAAUUAAAAUUUAAAUAAAUAAUUAUUGUGCCUAAGAUAAUUAUAGUAAAAUUAUAACAUAAAAUUUUCUCUAACAUUAUUAUAUAUCUAAAUUCUUUGAAUAAUAAAUUAGUGGAAAGAAGUUUUACUAUUUCAAGUUAAGUUGUUUAACCACCUGAGAAUAACAAGUUAAGUAAAUCAUAUCUUACCAAUUCUCAUUUAUUGGCAGUAUAAUUAUUGCACGUCUCUUGUUGUGUUGUUGCUCUUUUAAAUGAUUUUGUUAAAUCAAAACUGUAACUGUAAAGGAAAAACAUUCAAAUUAGACAUUAAAAAAUUUAUGUAAAGCAAUCCAAGACUUAGUAAGCAUGAAAUAUUAGUAUUUGUGCUUUAUUUACUUUUGGUAGUUAUUUAGGAAGUUGAUGAUCAAAAUAAUUAAAGUUUAUGUAUUUUGGUUCCUUUCUUCUUGUCACACCAUGACCUACACUUCUCUCAAAAGAAACAACAUGAUCAUUCUCUGUUGUUUAUCAAUGACCACAAUUUCACUCAUCAUCCUAUUCUCCAUCACCGUUUUGAUUUACUCGACGUUGAAAUUCCUCAUUAGGUUAUGUUGAUCAUCCAUCUCAACAUUGCUUGGUGUUACUCACGAAGAAAGUGAGUACCUAAGUGGAGGUUAGAGUUUGUGUUCUUCAUAUCAGAGUACAUGUCCUUGCCAGGUGUAGCUUAUGCCAACAAAAGUUCUCCAUGGAAAUAUCUUUACAUGGAGCUUCUGAUCCUGAUAUUUCUUACUCGUUCAUUGCUUACCUUUUUGUCACUAAGUCUCCAAGGUGGCUUCUCAUGCAAGGUUGAUCCAAAUAAAAAAAAAAUGGUUUCAUUUUCUCAACUCUACUCAUCGAUAACAAUGUUUUUAAGAACAAGUUGGGCUAUAAAACGGAUGGUGGAAGUUAUGAAACUAGGUCUUGACAUUGGAAUGAUGUAUUUUGGGAUGCACUACAAAAAAAAACUAACACCAUAAAAUAUGUUUGCUAUAGUUUGAAAAUAAAUGUUUUGAGAUAGGAAUUAACCGAGGCUUUUCAAAAGAGUAUGUUAAUGCAAGAAUAUAUAUAUAUAUAUAUAUAUAUAUAUAUAUAUAUAUAUAUAUAUAUAUAUAUAUGAUAUUGAGUCAUUCAAUCAUUAUUUAUUAAGAAUGUACUCAGAUUCAUUAACUAGAAAAAAUAAUCAUGUACAAAACUUUGGUUAGAUCUGAAAUCACAACAUAUGUUUCUCUAAUCAUUUUGAAAAGUUUAUCAACAUCUUUGUACACCUCCUGUGAGAUUUUCUUCCAAACUUGGUCAUUGUCUCUAACUUCACUUUUUGUCAAUAAAUAACCAGUCUAGAUUUAAACUCAAAAUAGAUAAAAUAAAUUACAAACGUUUUAAAAGCUAAAAAAGUGGUCAACUCUUUUUUACUCAAAAGCAUAUGAAAUGAAAACUGUUAUACAAAGACAACUAUAUAAUUGUUUUCAUUUGCUUUUGAAUAAAAAAGAGUUAACCAUCCUUUUAGCUUUUAAAACUUUUGUACUUAAAAUUUAUUUUAUUUAUUUUGAGUUUGAAUCUGUACUGGUUAUUUGUUGGCAAGAAGUGAAGUUGGAGACAAUACUCAAGUUUGGAAGGAAAUCUCACAAGAGGUGUACAAGGAUGCUGAUAAGCUUUUCAAAUUAAUUGGAGAAGUAUAUGUUGUGCUUUCAGACCUAGUCAAAGUUUUGUGUAUGAUUAUUUUUUCUAGUGAAUAAAUCUAAAUGCAUUCUUAACAAAUAAUGAUUGAAUAACUUAUUGUAUUAUAUUCUUGGAUUAACACACUCUUAUGAAAAGCCUAAGUUAAUUCAUGUCUUAAAACAUUUAUUUUCAAGUUGGAGCAAACUUAUGGUGUUAGCUUUUGUUGCCGUGCAUUCCAAAAUACACCAUUCCAAUGUGAAAUUAAACUUGGAGCAAACAUGUUUCUUUUUCAUUUUACAUAAAUUUUCUAAGGUCUAAUUUGAAUGUUUUGUUUUACAGUUACAGUUUUGAUUUAACAAAAUCAUUUAAAACAACAAUAACACAACAAGACACGUACAAUCAUUAUACUACUAACAAAUAGGGUUCGUUAAGAGUUGAUUUACUUGACUUGUUAUAGUUAAAUGGUUAUAGGGCAACUUAAAAUGAAAUAAGUAGACUUUUUUCCACAAAUUUAUUAUUGAAAGAAUUUGGGUAUAUAAUAUUAGAGAAAUUUUUUAUUAAUUUUAUUAUAAUUAUCUUAGACACAUAAGUUACUUGUUUGAAUUUUAAUUAUUAGUGAUUGCUAAAGUUAUAUAUAUGUUAAAUCCAAAUAUUAAUGAUUAUUUGCAACAACGAUCACAGUUAGACAAUAGAAAGGAUUAAAGAAGGACACUUGAUCAAAUAUAAUACCAUCAUUAUUUUUUGAAACAAAAAAUAUAAUUGUGACUUUUGAAUAGUAAAGAUUCAAGUUGAGAAAUAAAAAGAAAUUAGAGAAAGUUAACAUAUUUUCAUACAAGUUUAACUAAGAUCAAUUAAUUAGAAUAAAUAUGUAUUUACUCUAAUAUUAAUUUAACUGGACUUAAUUUUUAUUGAUUUGCAGAUGUAUUUGUGAAAAAACAUUUACAGUGAAAGGUGACUGAAGAACUCAUGAGAAGAACUAUGACAAUAUGUGAUACUGCACUUGUGGCUCAGACUUCAAACACAAACGAUCUAAUUAACAUUUUACAAUUAUCUUCGUUUACUAAACAUAAGAGUGUCAGUAUUGUGAGAUGGAUGCACUUAUGGUUUUAAAACCUUGAGUAAUGGUAAUUUUAGGAGGAAGAGUUUAGUUAGUUGAACUUUUAUAUUAUUACGAUGACAUUGAGAAUAAAAUGUUUUAAUAAUAUAUAUUUGAACAUUUUGAUAAAAGAAAUUUCUCAUGUUUUUUUUCUCAAUUAGAAUAUUUGAAUCUUGUUAUAAAUAAACAUUAUUAACAAAAGUAUUAGCACUUAAAAUAGUGAUAAAUUAAAUAAUAAUGAAAUAGAUUAAAAUAUUUACAUUAUAAUUGUCAAAUUAAAAAAGAUAUUAAUCCAAAAAAUAUAAAAAACAAAGUAAUAUUUAUAUUAAAAUAAUAAAAAAUAAAAGAGUUUUCAAAUCUCCACAAAAUAUUAGUCAUAAAACUCUCUAAAAAAACCUCCACAGUAUAUAUAUAUAUAUAUAUAUAUAUAUAUAUAUAUAUAUAUAUAUAUAUAUAUAUAUAUAUAUAUANUAUAUAUAUAUAUAUAUAUAUAUAUAUAUAUAUAUAUAUAUAUAUAUAUAUAUAUAUAUAUAAUAUGAGGAGUCACAGAAAAUCUUCCCAAAUCGGCAUUGACGACUCUAAAUGUGGAAGUUUGAAAACCCAAGCAAAUUUAUUUGUAAAGAGUAAAAACUUCCACAAAUUAAAAAAAAAAAAACAUCAACUAAACAAUAGUUUUUUAGUUAGUAGUGAAAUGGUUUUAAGGGAAAAACCACCGUAGAAUUUAGAUGGGAGAUAAUAAAAAAUAGAGCAUAAAGAAAUAUAGAGGAUGAAUGGAUACGGAAUGCGGAUAAGAUGCAAAGAUACGCAACAAAAUAUAAAAAAGUAAUGAAUAGUUGUAGAGGAGAAAAGACUGAAAUUUAUUAUACAAUUAGGUUAUUUUUAUUAGAACUGUACAAACAAUGUUAAAAAUAAUAUAUUGAGUUAAUUGAUGGUUUUUAUGAAUUUUUUAGAUUUGUGACAUUUCAAAGUUGUGAUAUGUGAUAUUGUUAGUGUGACUUGACAGACAGAGUUUCAAUUUAGUUCUUAGUUUUUUUUUUUAUUUAUUUAAUUUAGUCUUAAAUUUGGUUAAAAUGGAUUUUUAUCCUUCAAUUGAAACAAAAUUUACUUUUUUUACAAAUUUAUAUUAAAAUUUAUAUUUUUAUUAAAUAUUUUUGGAAUUAUAUUUAAACUAAUCCUAAUAUUUUUAUAGAUAUUUUUAUUGAUUAAAAUAAUUUUUUAUUUAUCUAAACUUUUUAAAUUAAUAUAUAUGUAAAUUUUUAUGUAUAUUAAUAAAUUUAAUAGCUUUUAUAUACUUGAUCUAUUUUGAUUAAAAUUGGGAUGAAAUGAUUAAUUUCACUUUAACAAAGAUUUGUUUAAAUGUAAUUUAUUUAAAUGGAAUCUACUUGUAUAGUUAAAGUUAGUUUAAAAAUAGGAUCAUAAAACUUAUAAGAAAAUAAAUUUUGUCACAUAUUCUUUUGUUUUAAGAAAAAUUAAGACUAAGUCCUAGAAAAAAAAUUCCAACGAAAUAUAAAAAUAGUAAAAAAAUUCAAAAUACAACAAAUUGACAUGUUAUACUAUUUUUAACGUUGUUAUACUGUAAUAAUAAAAAUAACCUAAUUACAUCAAUUUUUCAUAAAUUAAAACUAAAAAAUACUAUAGGCCUAGCUUGAUAUAUUUUUACGAAAACUAGGACAAAAAGUUAACAAUAAUGAAAAUACACUGAUAAUAAGAAUAUUUUGUUGAUAAAAAAAAUCAGCAUAAAAUCAACUAUAAAAAAUUUGUCUAUAAAUUUUACUGGCAAAUAGUUGAAAUUCUUUGGUAAUUAUCAACGUGAUAAUUUUUAAUGACCAUAAAUAUGUGAGAAAUUUUUUGUCGAUUAAUAUAUUCAAUAUUCAUAGUCAAAUCAAACCUGAAAUAAUAUUUUUAAUUCAUUGACAAAAAUUUUCAAGCAUACUACAUAAGAACCGCUGUUAUGAACAUAAAAUAAAAUUGGAAAAAGCCGUCAAAAGAAAGUGUAACUUCAGUUUAAGAUUAAAAUAGCUAAAUGGAACAAUUGAAAAAAAUAGACAUUGUAUCUAAUUUAGUAACUAAAUCAAAAUGUGUUAAUCAGAAAUCUUAAACUAUGACACUUCCAACCCACGGUAUAAUUAUAUCAAUUUGUAUAAUUUAGUUUUAAAUAAGAAAAAAAUUAUAUAAUUUUAUAUAAUUAAUGUAAUCUUAAUAUUAAUAUUAAAAAAUCAUUGAUUUGUUUCAAAAUAUUUAAUAAAAAAGACAAAAUUAUAUCAAAAUUUCAUAAAUUACGACCAAAUUAUAUUAAUUUUUUACACAUCAAUACCAAAUUCUAUCAAUUUUCACAAAUCAAUAUACAAAAAAGCAUCAAAAUAAUGAAAUCGAAUUUUACAACGUACAAAAAAUCUGCAUCGCCUUAGUUUUUUUAAUCUUAAUUUGAAAUUCGUGAAAAUUUAUAUAAUUUAGUUUUAGAUAGGAAAACAAAAUUUCUUUUAAUUUCUUGAAAUAGAUUAAGAGUUUUUCAUCUAAAUUAAAGUUGUCAAUACAAGUAGUUUAUUUUGUUGGUGUAAUUAAUGUAAUCUUAGUAUCAAUAUUAAAAAAUCAUUGAUCCGUUUCAAAAAAUUUAAUGAAAAAGACAAAAUUACAUCAAUUUUUCAUAAAUCAAAAUCAAAUUACAUUAAUUUUUACCUAUUAAAACCAAAUUCUUUUAAUUUUCAUCAGUAUAAAUUAAGACUUAAAAAAACUGGAGGACCAACUUAGUAUUUUUUAACGAAAAUAUAGAUUAAACUUUAAAAUUAUUAUAAAAAUUGUGUUUUAAGUAUCAUUAAAUUCUCCUUUGAUAGUUAUACAUGUUAUUUGAUUAAAUAUAAUGAUGAAAGUUGGAAUAGAAAAGUUUAAUGUGGGUAAUGAUAUUCUUGACAACUUAUUUUUAUAACAUUUUAAUACCAUCUACGUAUCAUUUUGUGAUUGGUUUAUGAUGGUGUUUAUGAUUAUUAUUAUUAAUUGUAGAGUAAUUUUGAACUAAUAAAAAAUAACAGGUAAAUAAUAUUAAAAUGUUAUUAAAUAUGAUUAUUUUUUUUUAAAUGUACUUUAUUUAGGCACGGUAAGCAUGCAAAGUUCAUUUUAAGUUGAUUAGGCUUAGGUAAGCACAUAAUUUAAUGAAUUAACUCAGAAAAUUAUGUAAUUUACUUACAUGUAGUAUAUUUCCUCCCUUUGCCUUUUAAGUUAACUAUUUAUUACAUUACAGUCCUUAGUUCUGAAAGAGUGAGGGAUUAAGAUGUUGUAAAAUUUCUACCUACUAUUGAUGGGAUAACUCAUAAUCAUAUAGAGCUUGACAUUUUUUAUUGCUUAAUGCACUUUUCUUCUACUGCUAAUUAAUAUAUAAUCUUAAAAAAAUGUAUGAAUGCCUCCUUACAAUAAAUAGUUCAAUAAUAUUUAUUUAAAAAACUUGUUAUUUUUCAGAGAAAUGAAAAAUGGAAUCUUAGUGAAAUGAUGGAUCGUGAAAUAAAAAGGAGAAAUUAGACAGUCAAGGUUUGUCACCUACCAGUUUUUAUCAGAUGAAAACGAUGAAGAGGGUUUUGUCCCCAAAUAGAUUCUAAUCAGUCUAUCUUUACGCAAGGAAUCAUUACAAUGCUAGAAUGAUUUUACAUCACUCACUAGAAUUAUUUCUUUUAGAAAAAAAAAACGGAAAAUCAUUUAUGUACUUUCUAAACUUCAAUUCCUUCGUGUCUAGUACAAUUUCAUCAUCAAAUUUAUAAAAUAAUAGACGUAAUUUUCUUAAUAUAAGAGUGAUUUAAUAUUUUUUAUUUUAACAUUUAUUUAAAUUAAUGUAAGUUUGGUCGACAUUAUAUAUGAUGAAUUAAAAAAAAAAAAAGUUUAUUCCAUAUUUCUUUCACUGUAAUACUUGUGUCUAAUAUUUUAGAAUUAUGUUAGAAAGAUAUAAAAAAAUUAUUGAACAAAUUCUUUAAAUGAUACAUUAAUACUCAUUUAUAUAAUUAUAUAAUAUAAAGAAAACAUAUUAGGUUUUCGACACUACCACUUUUUAAUUAAGGUGAACUUGAGUUAAUUUUUGAGUUAUACAUAGACGAAAACAGAUGAACUUAGUUGAAUAAUAACUAAAAUCCUUGAGAAUACGUUAUAAUUGGGUUGUUGAAGAACGAAAGAAAGUCCAAAUUGCAGAAUAUUCUCUCUUACACAUUCGAAUGAGAGUAAAAGAAGUUAUAAUAACAAUGAUAUAAGAUAAUUAAGUGAAUAGUUCAUUUUUAUAUUGAUAAAUAUUUAUAGGUUUUCGAACCAUAUGUAAGAAAACAUAUUGACUACCUACUUUUUAUUUUAAAUCCAUUAUUUAAUCAUUAUAUCAUCAAGAAACGGAAAUCUCUGUUCAAUUUCAAUUUUAGUAUGCAUCUCAAAUUUAAAUAUAACACAGGCAAAUUGAUAAAAUAAUUAACAAUAUUGCAUUAUAUUUUUUUAAUUUUCAUCUAUUCAAAUUGUUUUUUUAUCCCUGUAAAAAUAAAUACGUGGUUUCGUUCCUCCAAAAUUAGAAAUAAUUAUUAUUGUCCUUAAACUUUAUAUUAGAAAAGUAAUUUAUUUCAUUCAUUCCAUAAUAAUUUUUUAUAUAUUUUUUUUUUGUUUUUUUCUAAAGCAAUAUAGUCCAUUUUGUUUUUUUUUAAGUUUUUUUAUUUUUACAAUUGAAAGUAAUUUAUGCAUAAUCAGUUAUAUUGAAAAUAUAUACACAAGAAGUUGAAAAGUUAAGGAUAAAUGUGACUAAAAUUAUACCCAUUAAAUAUUUCUUCAUCUGAGUAUCGUGCCUUAAAAUAUUAUUGCUCUUAAAUGUUUAGUAAAUAUCAUUAAAAAUGAUGACUUGAUUUAUUUUUAGACACAUAUGCUCUUGAUAGUUUAACAAUUGGGACGCAAAGAUACAGAAAUGAAAACUAAAAAAACAUAUUUAUAGGAAUUAAAAAGCUAAAGGUAACUCUUCCAAUAAAUAUGUUAUUAACAUGUAUAUUAAAUAUUAUGCUUUUAAAAUAUUAAAAUUAUUUUCAUUUAAAUAAAAUAUUAAAUGCUUUUUUAUAGGAAAAUAUAAAAUAUAUAUAUUUUAAAUUGUUGUUACAAUUAUUACUACAAACACUCUUCAAAUUAUUGAGGAAAUAUUAUCAACAAAAAUAAAAAUAAAUCGUCAGUAAAAAAUUCUUCACAGCUACCACAAACCGCUACAAUAGAUUUCUUUGAUCCCUUUAUUUGGGUGUUAUUCUCUCCACCUUUCCAACUUUUUUGCCUUUCCAAUAUUUUUAUUUAUUUCAAAAAUAUUUUAUAUUUUAUCACUGUUUUUCUUUUAUUUCAAAUUACACUUCUUUAUUAUCUUUAACAAUCUUUUUUUUUUCUCUCUCCAUUAAUAGAGAGGAUUUACAUGACUCAUUAAUGUAACAUUUACAUAAUUUAAGUUUAAAUUUCUGAUAUAUUUCCUUAAGUUUGAUUCAAGGGUUAAAUAUGUUUUUAGUCCUGUACUUUGGGACGAUUUUGGUUUUAGUCCCUCUUUCAGACUAAGGUACAAUUUAGUCCUUCAACUUUAGAAAACUCUGGUAUUAGUCAUUUUUGUCAAUUUUUUUUUAACUUUAUUGGUUGUUUCAAACGCGUUUCUCAGUUAACAUUGAAACAAAAAUGUGCCAAACAAUGUACACAAUCCAAAUGCUAUAAUGAAACGUGUUUGAAACGCAAAUAAAAUUAAAAAAAUUGAUAAAAAUGAGUUUUCUAAAGUUGAAAGACUAAAUUGUACCUUAGUUUGAAAAAGGGACUAAAACCAAAAUCGCCCCAAAGUAUAGGGACUAAAAACAUAUUUAACCAAUUGAUUCAAUCUUAUUUUUGUUAUUCAAUAUUUUUUUUUUCAAAUUACUUAAUAAAUGGUAAAAUUUUAUUCUAAAUUUUUAGAAAAAUGUUUAUAUAUGUGUGAUUAUUUACAUUUAAUAUCUAUAAUUUUUAACAUUAUAUUAUGUUUUAACUUACAAACAUCGACUCAAAUAACUUGAAUAAAGUAUUUAAUUUAUUAGAUAAAUAAUAUAAAAAUAUUAUUUAAUACUUAAAAUAUAAAAGAAAAGUUAUUUAUUAAAGAUUUGAAAUUUAUUUAGUUUUUUUGUCAAUAUAAAGUUAGUAUAUAAUAAUAAUAAUGUAUUAUUAUUUAUUAUUAAUAUAAAAUAGUAGUAAUAGAAGCACUAAUAUUGUGAAUUUUAUAUUUUACAGUAUAUCACAAAUUUAAAUAUGAAUAAUGUGAACGUAAUGUACAGAGAAAAAAAAAAUGAUUGAGGAUAAUAAGUUGUAAGAUAUUUUUAGAAUAAAAAAAAUUAGAAAAUAUAAAAUAUUUUUAAAAUAAAUAAAAUAGUGAAAAAAUGGAGGAGCAAUUGGGAAUGUAUCGGGGGAGGUGGAGGGACACCCCUUUCUUUACAACCACCAUAGACCAUAGUAAGGAGUUUCGAUUUCCUUCUUCACAACCACCGCAAACCACUGCAAGGGGUUUCAGUAUUCUUCUAAAUUUUUAAGUAACUACUAUACUAGUAUUUUAUUAUGUGUAGAUAAAUACUAGCUAGUUUAUCAUUGAAUGCCAGUAAAAGUAUUAUUUGAAGACGGUGAAUAUUAUGAGUAUUGAGGAUUUGAUUCCGUAGUUUGGAGAUGUUAAAUUAGCACCAAACGUUUCCCUUAUCCUCUGUGUCUGUCUGAAAUUGAAAAGUUGUGUCGGUGUUGUCGUUGUCUGAGAAAGAGGAAGAAAUGGGGAGUGGAGUGAACAGAAAACUUUCUGCAGCAUCAACCCGUGCUCAUUCCUCGAACCAAAACAAAACCACUUCAGUUCACUUCCCUUCAGGUCCCACUUUUCUUUUUCAUCUUGUUGAAUAAAAUGAGCAUCAUCAUGUGCAUUCUUCGACUCAACUGCAUUUGGCAUAUUCUUCUGCCAUCCAUCCCCUUCUUCUUUCUCAUUUAUUAUCAUAUCAUAUUCAUUUGAUGGGACUUUCUCACUUUUUUUAUCGUCCUCUCAGUCCUUUGCUACCGUCACAGUACUGAAUUCAUAUUCUUAUCCUUAUUUUCAAAGAUUUUUUUUUUAAAAAAAAAGCAAUUUUGCAUUAUCCCAGGAAUUUUGAGAACAGUGUUCGCUGUACUGUUCAUCGUGCUCGUAGCAUGGGGUUAUCAGGCAAUUCAACCUCCUCCAUCAAAGUUGUGUGGUUCUCCUAGUGGCCCCCCUAUAACAGCACCCAGAAUCAAGCUAAGAGAUGGACGGAAUUUAGCAUACAAAGAGCAUGGUGUUCCAAAAGAUGUAGCCAAUCACAAAAUCAUCUUUGUUCAUGGUUUUGAUGCUUGCAGGCAUGAUGCCUAUGUUGCAAAAACCUUAUCACCUGUAAUUAUUUGUUUUUUUUUUUGUUUGUUUGUUUGGUUUCAUUAAAUUCUAUGCUAUGUUUGUCGAUGUAUUAUCUGAAUUUGUGAUGGGUAUAUUCAGGAUGUUGCUGAGGAUUUAGGGGUCUACAUUGUAUCUUUUGACAGACCAGGGUAUGGAGAGAGUGAUCCUCAUCCAAGCCAAACAGUGAAGAGCUUGGCAUUAGAUAUAGAAGAACUUGCUGAUAAAUUGGGACUAGGAUCCAAAUUCUACAUAAUAGGUUUCUCUCUUGGGGGUCAGGUUGUUUGGAGGUGCCUUAAGUACAUCCCUCACAGGUAUGAUGCUUUCAGGUUUGAGGUAACUCUGUUGGCCUCAAACAGAACAUUCUUUGGUUGUUUUUUCUUUUCUUGGCAUGUAAAUGUUUAUGUCCCUUUGGUUGAACUUGCAUUUUAGUUCUUUCAGUGAUACAAGAUCUUUGUUCCUCUGCACUUAUUAUGCAGAAUCUGUUGGUCCAGGCGGUCCAAACAAACUUUGAAUGAAUAUUAAUGUUAAUUUCACAAGUGUAAAAUGCUCAGGUUUGGGAAAUUGGUGGGGUGAUUAUGCUUGUCUAUGACAUCAAAAUGAGUGGGGUAAUUGUGCUUGUCAUACCAAAUUACGCAAUACUUAAGACUCUCAUUUCUGUGUAAGUGUGCAGUACUUAAAAAAUUGUCUGCAGAAACUAGACGGGAACAUCAAAUUUCUUGAAAUAAGUUAUAUGAAUCUACGAGCCACUUUCUUCAUCUGUAUUCUUUGUCACAGUGAAACAAAAUUGCAAUGGUGACAGGUUGGCAGGUGCGGUGCUGAUAGCCCCAGUGUUGAACUACUGGUGGACUGGUCUUCCUAGAAACUUAACAAAUGAAGUCUUUUACCGACAAAAACUACAAGACCAGUGGACACUUGGUGUUGCUCACUAUAUACCUUGGCUAACUUACUGGUGGAACACUCAAACAUGGUUUCCAUCUUCUUCUUUAAUUGCUGACAGUUUAGAUCUUCUUUCCCUUCAAGACAAAGAACUUUUGCCUAAGAGGAAAGAUCGAAAGAAUCAUGUGGUAUCUUGCUUAUGCACUGAAACUCAUUCAUUCCAAUAGAUUUUGAUGUUUUUGGAUGAACAUUAUGCGUAAAGUUAGAACUUGAUCAUCUUAAUAAUUUGCUUAUGUGGGUUGCACUUUCAGGGUGAGGUAAGACAGCAGGGAGAACAUGAAAGUGUACACAGAGAUCUAAUUGUUGCAUUUGGUAGCUGGGAAUUUAGUCCUUUGGAUCUGGAAAAUCCAUUUCCAAAUAAAGAGGGUUUGGUUCAUAUUUGGCAAGGAGAUCAAGAUUUGAUAGUGCCUGUUAAAGUGCAAAGAUACAUUGCACAAAAGCUUCCAUGGAUUCAAUAUCACGAGCUUCAAGGUGCUGGCCAUUUGUUCCCUCAUCUUGAUGGUAUCAGUGAUACCAUUGUUAAGUCACUUUUAAAUGCCCAGUAGUGUUGUUUGUUUGCAUAAUUUAUAAAAGAAAAUCAUAUUUUGAGAGCAAUUUUUGAUACUAUUUUGACACUACACACUUAUAAAAAAAACGUGGUUGGACAAUUUCAAAUUAAAAAAAGCUGAGAUAAGAGUACAUUUGAAAGAAAAAAAUGAAAGUAUUUUUAAAAUUUGAAAUCGUUCAAUUACAUUUUGACACGUGUACAAUGUCAAAAAAUUGGUGUAAAAAUAUCAUUUUCCAUUUAUAAAGGACCAAUGUAUCAUACCAUAUUUUUACAUUCAUUUAUUAAAAUUGAUAAUAAAAGAAUAAAGUUUUGUAUUUUAAAGAAAAAAAAUAAAAUAUAAAAAAUGAAUGUAGAAAAGUUAAGUAAAAAUAUUUUUAUAAAAUUUCAAUUCUAACCCAAAAUUGUUUUUGAGAGAAUGUAUUCAUUGUAUAACUUUUGCUGUGUCAUUCAACUACACCUAUGUGUUAACUUUUAUAUAACAAUUACUUCACUUAACUGCACCGUUUUUAGUUAUAAUAAUUUAGUUAUAAACUUUUUCUUUUUAUUUAUAUAAAAUAUAAAUCUUAAAAUAAAUUUUAAGUCCUAGAUACUCUAAUAUACACUCAAUCAUGUGGUGGUGUUGAUAAAUAUACAAUGUACAAAAUCUGAGUAGAUAACAAAAGAACUAUUAGAUUUUUUUUUUUUAAGAAUGAUAUAAUAUUAAAGAUGAAAUUUGACUCUUUGAUGCUUUUUUUCUUACGAAUUGGUGGAAUGAUUCCAUUGAUCAAAAGAUUAUUAUAGACUUGUUUAGUUAAAUUUAAAUUAUUCAACAAAUAAAUUUAGAAGAGAUUGUAGAAUUUAACUAAUAAGUAAUUAAAUACACCUUUAAGUCUGAUUUAAUUUUUAAAAUCAAGCUCAAAGUAUAGCUAUAUUAAGUUUCAACUUUUAUGAAAUAGGAAUAGAAAAUAAUUCAGUUAAGCUACUCUUUUCUGAGACUAAAAUAAAAGUGACAACAUGAAUCGAUACUUACCAAAAAUAUUUCCUCUGUUGAGACAGAGAAAUUAUACACACAAAUAUCAUUUUUUGUUUUUCAUUCAUAAUGUCACACAUUCAUAAUCAUAUAGAAAAAGAAUAAUAUUUUGGUAAGUUAGUUUUAUUAAUGUGUGAAUGUCAAACAUUUUAAUUAUGUUAUGCAUUUGAAGAUUUUGUGCAGCAAAUUGAUUUUUUUUAAUUUAAUGUUUUCCUUGAUUUUUUUUAGUGACAAAUAGGAGUAGGAAUUUAUUAAGCAAAAUUCAUGAAAAAUAUUCUUAAAAAGAUAUUUUUCUACAAAAUAAAUUCGUGAGAAAUUAUCUACUGAUACGUUAUCUUUCUCAAAAAAAAAAUAUUUAUCAAAAAUUACCCACAGAAAUGGAAAUUCUUGGAAAACUUUCCUCACGAGUAUAUUAAUUAAAAAAUUAUCGUGAAAAGUUCAUGGGAAAAAACAUUAUUACCCGCGAAUUUAGAGGGCUUCCACGAAUUUUGGUCAUAGAAAUUUUCAAUUCAAUUGAUUUGCAAUGUGGUUAUUGAGAAGAAAGAAUAUUUAGUACAUAAGUAUAUAAUAUAAGCAUGAAAAUAUGUAUGUAUUUAAUGUUUUAUAUUAUUAACUAAUAAACAGGUUCAAUAAUUGAAUUAGUAAAUAAUCUUUUAUUUAUAUAGUUGUUAUAAAUUUUUGUGUUUAUUUUAGUUACCUUAAAUUAAUUAAAUUGAAAGUUUGUUAACUUUAUAGUAAAUGUAUAAAAUCGUUUAAAUAGUAAUUGAAAGUUUAAGAAUAUUUUUUUAGGAAUUUGUGUGUUAUUAGUUGACUGUGUAUAUUUAUUUAUUUAUACUAUGAAUAUUAAUUGAUUCAAAUUAGUAAUAGAUGAAAUUAGAAAUAUGACAUAUAAAACUACUAAAUUAAAGUUACGUUACUCGAUCAAAGCAAAGGUUAAUUCGGGUUGAAUUUCAUGUAUUGAACUUAAUGUAAUCAUCCUAAAUAAUAUAGUUAAUGUUUAUUCGGGUUGGAUUUCAUGUAUUCAACUUAAUGCAAUGACCCUAAACAAUAUAAUUGUAGCAUGACUUAAGCAUUUAUAUUAUAAGUUUACAAGUUUUAAUUUUUUAGAAAUAAGUUCUAAAUUUUUAUAUGAAAAUACUAAUUUUUUAGUUAUUUUAACACAAGAUUUACAUUAUCAAUAACUAUUUAAAAUAAUUACUAGGUUAUAGUCUAUGUCUAAAAUCAAACAUUGGUUCGAUGCUUUUUUAAGUUCCAAAAACAUUUUUCAAUGUUUAGAUACACAAAAUAACAUAAUACACAUAAAGCAUAAAGAAAGAACACAAGGAACAUAAAAAAAAAAUGUAUAUUGCAUAAGAGAAAACUACAUAAAAUUAAGGUACAUUACAUUGAAUCUCAAUAAAUAGUAGAGUUAGUUACUCUUACAUAUUUGAAUACACGAAAGAUGAAAUGAAUGAAGGAAAAUGAUUUUCUUGAGCUAUGAAUGCACAUAUUCUCUAGUCUCUCAUUGCAUUCUCACACCCAAAACUCUUUCAUCUUGUCUAAUUUUCAAUAUCUCUAAAAGGCCAUCUUCUUACUAGAUAACUAUAACCUUUCCGAGGACGAGAAGGUGCUUUUUGUGUCAAAGUUAAUUGUUUUAUUUUUGGUUUAAAUCUUUUUUUGUCCCUAAGUUAUAAGCGGAUGUUCAGUUUAGUCCCCGUUUUUAAAAAUGUAAAUCUUUGGUCCCUAAGUUAUAAAAAAUGUAAAUCUUUGGUCCCUAAGUUAUAAAAAAUGUAUCAAAUGAGUCAUUUUUUGACUUGAAAUAGUGUUUUUGGUUGUUUCUUAACAACUACUACAUCUUUAGAUUGCUCUGAUUUGUUUCUUAAUAAUAAUAGCACUUUAGAUUGCUCUUUGUACUUUGACCAUGAACAUCAAAAAAGGACUCAUUAAAUACAUUUUUUAUAACUUAGGAAUCAAAGGUUUACAUUUUUAAAAGUGGGGACUAAACUGAACAUCCCUCAUAACUUAGGACCAAAAAAAGAUUUAAACCUUUAUUUUUUGAGGAAAAAUGAUUCUUUCACACAUGUAAACUUUUUACAUUUACUUAACACUAUCUUUCCUUACUUUUUACUCUAUUAUUUAUUAAAAAAAUACAAAAGUUUAUACUUUUAUGAUUAUUUUAUCCUUAUACUAUGUGUUAAAUGAAUGUAAAAGUAUGUAAUAAUGAUACCGUUAUUUUUUUAGCAAAUGACUUACUUGUUGAGGGAAUAAACUUCAUAAUUUUCCUCCAAUUUUCUUCGAUCUUCAACUUUUCCACAAAAAUAAUCCAAAAGGAAAAAUUAAUUACAUUUGUAUUAAAAAAAUGUUUAGAUCUUAAACUUUUCAUAAAAAAAAUACAAAAAUACAAAAAUAUAAUAUUGAUAAAAAAUAUAAAAAUAAUUUUAAUUUGCUCUUAUAAUAAUUAUUGCUGGAUUUAUUUGUUUGUAUUAUUCUAAACAAGGAGAGACAUACUGGUUGCAAGAACAUAUUAUUAAUGUUGCUAGAGUUUAAAUCAAAAAGGUUUCUUUUUAAAAGGUAUAUUAAAGUAGGUUAACUCUCUAACUAUACUCAAAAUAAGGGUUAUUUUUUUAUUUAUAUUAUUAUAAAACUGGAAAAGUCCUAUUUGACUACGAAUAUUAUUUAAGACAAUGUUAAAAUGAAAAUCAUCCAACCUACUAAACUAUCCACACAUUUUUUCUUUGCUCUUCAAAAAAAUUAUUCAGUUUUUAUUUUAAAUAUAAAUUAAGUAAUAAAUGACUAAGAUUUAUUAAACAAAUCUUGCAUUUCAACAGGCAACAAAAAAGAUUCAAAAGUCCUCAAACUAUAUGUAUGUUUUGGUUAAGAAAAAAACGUCUCUUAUAGCUAUACAUAUAUUGUUGCAUAUAAUUUUUAAUCCUAAAAAAAAGAAUGAAUUUUAAAGUUUUUCUCCUUCAUGAAUUAGUAAGCUGGGGAUAAAAUAUGGAACACAAAUAUGAGAAAGAAUAAUUAAUGUGAAAAUAGUAUUAUAAUAUUAUUAAAAGGUGAAUAAAUAAUAUUGCAAAACAAAAAAAUCGAAAAGAAUACGUGUUGAGCUGAAAAGGUUUGCUGUACUAACACAAGUCCAGACGUGCGACACCUGUCCUAUACGUGUCGAGUAAUGUAACCUAUUGGGAAAAAUAUUUGUAUCUAUUGCGGCAUUUGACAUUUAUCUUUUUCAUUAAUUUUGAAUCCCUUGUUUUGUGGGGUACCCCUGAGCUGGAGUUAACCAUAUAGACGAAGAUCUAUCCCUUAAGUUGCAGGGUAGUGUGCCUUUUAUGAAGCUAUUGCUACUUUCAGUCUUUCUUCUAAAUAAAUUUGAACACAAUCUCAAAGUUUUGGCACUCCUACAAAAGGAACUUCUUCAAUACUAAUAUCAGUCUCAAAUUGAAAUUUCAAUUUCCAGGUAUCUAUGUCCCUAUAUGCAAUUUUGCAAGAUUAUUUGUUUGUUUUCCAUCACAGCAAACGUUUUUUUUUUCUUGAUUCACCAUGGAUUGUUAUGGUUUAUGUUUUUUCAUCCUUUUUUCAGUAACCAUUCUCUGUGUAUUGAUUUUCUUACCACCAUUUUCACCAAAGGAGGAAAAUAUUCCAAACAUUGAAAGUAUCCUACUCAAUAACAUUAUAGGUGUUUUCAUCCAAAAAUUUAUAUUUAUUAUCAAGGAAAUAAAGAAUGAAUUUUUUUUUUCCUUUAGCGGUGAGCUCAAGUUAUUCUAAAAUGGAGCUUAGAAAAUUAAUUUGGAGAAAAAAAAAAUGCUUCUUUGAACCAAACCUAAAACAAUAUUGUUUUGAAGUUAUAUGAACUCUUGAGUAUGAAGUUUUCAUGACUACUGUAAGCUGUGUGUAGCUAAUAAAAGCAAUCUUAUGAUUGUUUGAUUUUUGUAGAGAGAUAUUGAUGGUGCAGAUAAAAUACUGUAUAUUUUUUAAGUGAAUUUAUGUGGAAUCAGAAUUGGUAUUUAUUUAUCUUGAUCAUCUAGUUUUGGAUAAUAUUAAAUAAUGGAAGUAUGUGAAAAGCAUCUGGUUCCACCAAAAAGUGAUAAAAAUUACCAUGGUCCCACUUGAAAUAAUUUACUUGUAUUAAUUCAACGUAUUAGUUCUAAGUACAAAUAUUAAAACUUAGUUAUGUUCUUCUCUUGUGAAUAUUAAUAUUAAUCCAUUGAAUUUUAGAAAAUUCUAAUUAAAUGUCUAAAUUUAUAUGAAUGAAUGGUAGUAUGGAUUUCUUUGAUAUAUAUGUAUAUAUCAAUUCAAAUUAUUUAAGAUUAUGGAGUAUUUAAAUUUUCAGAUCAGAUUAAUUAACUGUUAUAUAAAAUAUUGUAAACUUUGUAAUAAUAAUAAUAAUACUUUGUAAAAAGGUAUUCAAAUUCAUUUGCUAAUUUAAAAUAAUAAUACUUUAAUCACAUUUAUUAUAUUUAAAAUGGCAUAAUUUUUUUGAAUGAGUACAUCAUUGUUUAUUGUAUUAUAUUUUCUGAAUCUUACUUUAGAUUUUGUCUUGUAUGUUACUUUGUUAUCAUGUGGUCUCUUGAAAGAAGAAGGAAAGGAGAUGGUGGUUGAAGAGAGUGAGAUGAAUUCCCAACAAGAUGGCAACAAGAACCACCAUUCUCAGUUCCCACCAUCGUCCAUUGGAAGACAGACAUCCAUAUAUUCUCUUACACUCGACGAGUUCCAGCACAGUCUAUGCGAGACUGGCAAAAACUUCGGUUCCAUGAACAUGGACGAGUUUAUCAGUAGCGUCUGGAACGCUGAAGAGAAUCAAGCCAUAAUAACCUCUUCCAAUGUCCCUCUCUCCCAACCCUUCACUGACAAAGAUCCAACAACGCUAAGGAAACAACCAAGCCUACCUCGCCAACCCUCACUCUCUCUCCCUCCACCUCUAUCCAGGAAAACCGUCGAUGAAGUUUGGUCCCAGAUUCAGAAAGAACAACACGACAGCACUAACAACAACGAUGUUCUGAAUAAUACCGAGUCUGCCCCUCGCCAGCCCACUUUCGGUGAGAUGACUUUGGAGGACUUUUUGGUCAAGGCUGGGGUGGUUCGGGAACAACCAUCUGCACCACCACAGUUGUCUCAUCACUCUCACCACCUCCAACACCAGCAGCAGCCGCAGCCGCAGCCGCAGCAGCAGCAGCAUUACCCGAGUAACAACGGUGCAAUGCCGGGAAUGGGUUCUCCUUUUGUUGGUAGGAAUGUUAUUGGUGCAGUGAGUAACGUGGUUGCACCGGGUUACCAAGUGGGUGAGGCUUCUGGUGGGUAUGCUGUAAACGGUAAGAGGGACGGUGGUGCGGUGUUUCAUCAGCAAGGUGUUUCCUUUGGAGGAAGUGGGUAUGGGAUGGGUCCCACGAUGGGAAUGGGUGGGCCUGUGAGUCCUGCUAAUUCUUCUGACGGAAUAGGGAAUGAUUGUGGGCAGUUUGGGCUUGAGAUGGGUGGUUUGAGAGGUAGAAAGAGGAUAGGGGAUGGUCCUGUGGAAAAGGUGGUGGAGAGGAGGCAAAGGAGAAUGAUCAAGAAUAGAGAGUCAGCUGCCAGAUCUAGAGCCAGAAAACAGGUGCAUGUCUCUCGUUUUAUCAUUUCAAUGCAGUGUCUAUGCAUCAUCUCAGGUUGAUUUGUUAUAAUUCUGAUAUUGAAUUAAUGGCCGAAAGAAAUGUGAUGGAAAAGUAGGUUAUGCUAUUGUAGUAACCUGAAAUUGUCUUACUGCAUAAUGUCUGGUAGAAACAUGGAAAGGAAGUAGAUCAAGAAUACACUAGUUUAUUUUAGUAGAGACUCACUUUCAAUGACAUUAGAAUAUUAUGUUCUUUGAGAACUUGCUCAGAAUUCAGACUAAAAUGGCACUGAAAGUAGGAGUUUUUCUGGAAAUUUUUGGUGGAUAUUUGAGGAAGGAUAGUGUUAUAAGCUUCAUUUGCAGAAUCUUAUAGGGUUUUUUCCUUGGCAGGCAUACACUGUUGAAUUAGAAGCGGAACUAAACCAACUAAAAGAAGAGAACGCCCAACUGAGACAGGCGUUGGUACUGCCAAAUUACGUUAUAGCUUAUGCAGAAUGUUGAAAAUUUUCAUCCGUAGUUGAGGUAUUGGUAAUUCAAUUAUACUGAUAAGGAUCUUACUUGCAUAUUUCAGGCUGAGCUCGAGAGAAGAAGAAAGCAACAGGUAAUCACUUACUAAUGAUCUGAUUAACUUCUAGUUAGAAUUUAAUUACAUCAUGGGUACAAAAGCUUUGGUUUAGCAUGGUCCUUUCCUAUUCCAUGACCAUUAUGAGACAGUAAAUCAAUUGCUAAUACUGUCCAAUUUAAUAUGAUUUUUUAUUUCCCAUGACAAGGCUCGUAGAAAUCUGUGAUAUAUAGGAUCUGGGCUAAUGGAGACACCGCCCUUUAUGUGAAGCAAAUAGCUUAUAACCUCAUCUAAAUGUGCCUUUUUGUGAUCAUUUGCUGCAGAUUUUUGAAGAAUUAAGCAAUAUUAGCGUUCAAGCAAACGCUCAGAAAGUAAAAGAGAAAGAUAAACUGAGAGCUUUGAGAAGGUACAUGAGUUAUCCUUAGUGAAAAAACGGCAUGGUAACCAGUGAAGUUUUGUACGCACCAGAGUUUCUUGUGACUAGUAUGGCUAAAUGAAAAAGAAAGUCAACUGAAGUUAUAGCUGGUUGAAGAAACAGAGAAACUGAAGGGCGGGGAAGCUGCAAGAGUUCUCAAAUUAAGAUCAACGAAGAAUGGGAUCAUCCAAUUUGGAUGACUCUCCUUAUCAAAUUUCUCAGACGUACAAUAUAUAUAGUUUUUGUAAUAUUCAUGUCAUUUCAUCGUUGACUUGUGUGUGUACGUUCUCGUUUACGCCUAUCACACCAUCGCUUUUUAGUUUACUUUAUAUAUAUUUUCAGUAUAAAAGUAUAUCGACAAUCAAUCAAAAUUUAUUGUUCAUUAUGUUUUAUGAUAAUUAACUAUUAUAAAACUUAGCAUCUUAUCCUGCCAUUUAUGAUUGGAUAACUUUUGCUCUAUUGUCUUCUUUUUAUACCUUUAUUACUAUGAAGGGGUGAAAUUAUGCUUAAACGUGUUUUUAUACAAGUGGUAACAACUAAUUAUUAUAACCCAGUGGAUGUCCAAGGGGUGAAAUGCUUCGUUAGUUCACAAAAUGACAUUACUCAGUGUGUAAAUAUACUUAGUUUUAAUGUUUUGCACACAGGAAGAGAAGAAAUCUUCAUGCUUUAGACUAAUGAUUCAUUUUAAUUUUUUCAACAGAAGCUAAAGAUGCGCUGAUAACUAGUAACGACUACUAUGAAUAAUUUGCCAACUUCCAUUUUUAGGAAACAAGAACGUCGAGUACGAUUCAGAAGAAACAGCAAACAUUUACAAUGCAGUAAUGUUCAAGUGCAUAAAAAUAACCACAAAUAGGCUCCGUCUGUCUACUUCCACAAGCAAAAAAUGUAAUAAACAAUAGAAAGAAAGGGGUUGUGAUGGAAACCGAAAUUCACUCAUAUACACAGAAUCUAUAACUUUACAAUUGAAGAAUUCUUGUGAUUCAAGACAGAGAAAUGGACAAAAGAAACUCAUGGGGCAUGCUUCUAUCUUCUUUUAUUUGGAUGGGUUACAUGAGUGCAACCCAACCCACUACUCGUAUUCAAACUCAAAUUUUACAUGCCCAUAUUUUCUUCCUAGUUGAAGAAUGAAUUCAGAGAAUCUGGAAAGAAUUUGGCACUCUUCAUGUGUUUUUACCUCUGAAACAUGACCAUGCACAACCAGUUUUUUCAAAUUGGGACAUCCUUCCAAAAGUCCAGCCACCCAAACUGAGAAAAGAUCACUGAUUACAGUCCAUCCAAGUUCUAACACCACCACAUUCAUCAAACAAGACAAACCCUGCAAGCCAUAAUGAAGCACUCCAUCUCUUAAAUCAUAACUUAACGACAAAUGCGUCAAUAGAGGAAAGCAAACAGAAAUUGUCUCUAUAUCAACAACCUCAUCCUCAUCAUCAAAAACAACACCCCACAGCCGAAGCUUAUAUAACUUUGAGGCUUUUGAGAUCAUGUGAUAAAACUUUGGCCACAUGAUUGUGAAGUUACAAACAUCUAUAAUCUCAAGGUUCUCCGUACUAUCCACAAUAUCGAGAUGGAUGACAUUCACGUCAUCAAUUUUCAACGCUUUCAGUGUCCCCUUUCCAACCAGCUCAAAAAUCUCAAAGGUACAUUCUUUCAAAUGAAUUUUCUCGAGCAAAUCCACCUCCAAUAUAAACUUAUCCGAGCUAAACAAUUCAAGGUGGAAAUCCUUCAAAGAAAGACUGGUAAGCUCCAAAGAAGCCUGAGAAUCUGAUAUUGCAAUAUCUGGACUAACCAUAGCCAAUGUUUCAAGCUUUGGACAAGACGACAUCAGAAGGCUCAAAUCCAACGCCGAGAUGCUAACAAAACUCAACGAAAGCGACUUCAAGCAAGGAAACUUCAAAUAACCUGGCUCAACCCCAAUGAUGGAAUUGCGAGCCAAUGCCAGCACCUCCAGCCUGUGCCUGCUGCAUUUCUCGAUGAUGUUGAAACUAGGGGUAGUCCUUACAUUGUAAUGCAAUUGGCGCAAGGAAUCCCUAGUAUACAUAAGCCAAGCAAUGACGGGGGCGGCAGAGAACUCACGCUCAUCAUCCAUGAAAAUGGUCAAAAACUGCAGUGCCUUGGUUUGAAAAAUGGUCUGAGUGAUGAGUAUUUCCAACCUGGCAGAGGAAUAGUCAUUAUAGGGAGGCCAAUCACUAAAAUUGAAAGAAAGACUGUGGAGAUGACUGCGCCAUGCUUCUUUCCAUUUCUUGCAAGUUGCAGAAGCAACCACUACAUCCCGAGCAGAGCCGAGAAGAGACAAUAUGUUACCGAUCACUUCCACAGGAAUGUGGUCCAUAGUAGCAGGAUUAAAUAAAUUAUCAGAAUUAACAAUUACUGAACCACACCCUCAAUUUCAAAAGAAUUCAAUCCAAUAAAUCAGAACCUGUGCAGUAUACGAAAGUUCAACAAAUUAAAUUCAACUAAACAAUAACAACAAUAAUAAAAAUAAUUUCUCGAUAAACAAAAAUCAGAGACAAAGGGGAUCCUAUACAGUGAGUGAUGGGAGUUAUUAAGAUCAGAAAAUGGAGUUAGGAAGUUUGCAUUGAAUUAAAUGGGCAAAUAGGAAAAAGUUAAAGAUAAAGGAUUAAACGAACCCCGAAGAGACUCACUUGGAGAACGAAACGAUCGUGUUCUUAGCGCAGAGAAUUUGGAAAUCCAAGAAUCAUAACAUUCAAAUUUCGCUGAAAUAAGAGAGAGAGAGAGAGAGACAGAGAGGACCUACUUCUCUCACUAGACGAAGGAAAGGAAAAUCUUUAUGUUACGGCGAGGCAAAACGGGAGUGAGUCUUCAAAAUCGUGUGCAGGGUCCUUCGCACGUGUUAGCAACUAACCCUUCGUACGUGUUAAAAACUUUUUUUUCCUUCCCAGAUACGAGCUAUCAAAAUGGAUAAUCUGAUUCUAUGGUCACUUACACUGUGUUCACUUGAGGGUGAUUGGGAAGAGUAAUUGAGUGGAUUUGAGGGUAAUUUCUUUUGUUGUUUAUUUGAGUGAAUUUGGAGGUAAACGAGAGUGAACUUUGAAAUAAAGUUUGUGAGAAUUGGUGUAGGAUUUAGUUUUUAUGACAAAUUACAAAAAUUUAUUUCAAAAUUCAUUCUCGUUUAUCUCCAAAUUCACUCAAAUAAAUAACAAAAAAUAUUAUCUUCAAAUCCACUAAAUCACUCUCCCCCAAUCACCUCCUAUCACCCCCAAGUGAACACACCCUUAGUGAGUCAAUCCAAUCCGACUUAUUUAUUAGUGAGUUAGAAAAAUUUGAAUCUGGUUCGACCCAUCACGGAAUAGUGGGUAAACGAAUUGACUCACUAAUCCAUUUAAUUACAAUUUUUUUAAAUAAAAAAAUUUAUAAAUUUUCUAUAUUCAAAUUUAAACAAAUUUCACUCUCAGAAAAUGAUAUUAAAUUGAAGACAAUUCAAAAUAAUAGUAAAAAUUACAAUAUAAUACAAAUGUCAUCUAAAAACAAACACAAAAAACCUCCUUGAAGAAUUUCAAUAAAGGAAUGAGAGUGAUAACACCGUAUUCUGUGAGAGAGAUUUAUGAGAGGAGAGGUUUAUAGACAGUGAGUGUAGAGAGUAUUUUAUUUUUUAAAGUUUCAUAAAUAAAAUAAUAAAUUAAAAAAAAAUUAGGUAGGUAGAUUGACGGGCCAACCCGGCCCACCACGGGUUCAACCCGGUCCACCACGGGUUCAACCCGCAUGAGUCGGGUUUAAAUGAGCCGAGUUGAAAUCUGACCCACAUAAAAAAAAUUAAUUUUUUCAAACCCAACCCAACCUGAACCCGUGGUGAGCCGAGUUGACUCGCGGAUUGUGAUCCAUUUUAACAGUUCUACUUUCAAACAAUGAGUUUGUUUUAAUUUUAACUUAAUUAUGUAUUUUAAUUAAAAUUAAUUAAUAGUUGUUAGUAAUUAUUUUAUUGCACGUUCGCCCACUCUAGACAAAAGAACUCAUUAAGAAUUUCCCUUUUUUCUGCUUUUCUUUCAUGAUGACACCGACACUUCACGUGUAUCAUUCAUCAAUAAUGAGUAAGUGUUGAGUGAAGAGUAAGGAAUAGUGCAAAUGUGGAUUCAACUUUAUUUUAAUUGUUAAUUUAAUACAAUUAAGUUUGACGGGAUUAAGUUAACAAUUUUACUAAUUUAAUCUAUCUCAAUAAAUUAUAAUUGAGUUAAAAUGGGUAAGGCCAGUAAAUACAAUAAUUAAAAUCACAUAGUAAUAUUUUUUUAAAAUCUAAAAUAAUUUAAGUAUAUUUUUCAUCUUAAAAAUAUUAAUUAAAAUUAUAUUUUAUUCUCGUUUUAAAUUUCUAUCAUUUAAGAGAGAAAGAGAGUUGCAGUGAAGAGAGAAAGACACUUAAUUCAACAAAAAAAUUUGAUUAUAUAUAAUCAUGUGACCGUUUAAUUUGUCAUACCAAAAAAUUUUUAAUCCAAAACAUUUUACAUUCUUUUAUGAAGAUCAAGGACAAAUUUAGUACAUACUUUAAAAUAUGGACAAAAUACAAAUUUUUGAAAAAUAAAAUACAUUUAACUCAUUAAAAAUUAUUUUUAAUACUUAUAAAUUAUUGUUAAUAUUUAUACGAUACAGAUAAACAAUCAUUUUUAAAAUAGUAAGGUUAUAGUAGGUACAGAGAAAACAAUUAAAGAAAAAGAAAAUAGAUGAAAUAUGUAAAAAAAUAAAGUAAAAAUAAAAAUGGUUUGAUUUAAGACAAAUAAAAUGAGAUAUGUGGGUAUUGAAAGAGAAAAGUAUAAAGUAAACUUUUAUUAUAGAAAAUGUUAUACCAAAAAGGGCCAUUCUCUCCAUUUGAAUGAUAACAUGCAAAUAUGUUUUACAAUAUCAGAUAAAGUAUUUUUUUUUCAAGAUUUAAUAUAAAAAAUAGUCUGUGUUAUAUUAAAUGAUACAUAAUUUAAGUUUGGGACACCUUACAUCAACUAGAUUUAGAUAAAAUAGAUAUUGAAUAAAAGUUAAGUAUGUUUAUGAUUGGUUUAACACUUGAUAACAUAAUUCAUAGCUACCUCCGUUUUUCUUUGCUAAAUAAUCGUAUCUCAAUAAAUACAAUAAACUCAUGAUUCAUCUUUAAAUGUUUACAUAUUUUCUUUAAAUUAUUUUACUCUAACGACCAUUUUUAUUUGUCCAGCCAUAAAUGUGUUAAAAGAAAUUGUCAACACCCAGUAAAAAACAAGUAAGAAUCUUGUCCUACAAACAUUUAUGAUUAACAAUUUUCAAUUCACGAAGCAUCUCGUGCCAUUAUAGUCAGGUCACAUGUAAAAUACAAACAUAAUAAAAAUGUGAAAUACAAGAACUGAAUGCAGUUUCUUUCCCUAGGUCCCGGCUUGUGUAGCUUAAGGCCAUGCCAUUCAACCAGAAAUGAUAAUUCGUAAUAAUUCAAGUGAAAGCGUGAUAUCUAAGCUGACCAAAGAAUUCUAAGAAAAGUUUCUUCAGUUCUGAAUGCGUUACAUGAUAUUUUAAACUCAAGUUAUUUCCAAGAUAUAUUGUUAAACUACAAACUACAAUUUUCAUGAUUUAAAGAAUUACAUGAUGAAUAAGAAUCAUCCGAACAAAUGAUAGGCCUUAUUAGCAUCAGCUCCAGAAAACUCGUAUACUGAGACCACGUCAGUCUCAGUAUCCUUUUGUUCUGAACACCUAAAGCUCUCCUUUUCCUCGUUGAAACAGGCAGAAUUGUAGAAAUCCAUUAGUUGUACUUGUAUGUCUAUCUAUUAGUGACAGGACUACUUUAUACGUGAGGAUCCACAGCAAGUUGAAUAGCGAUUUUAAUCAUUUCAUGACUUAGAAGAGCCACUACUGCCUGUUGUCAUGAAAGAUUCACCACAACCACACUGACCUUUAGAAUUUGGAUUGACGAAAAUAAAUUCCGAUCUGACAGGAGAAGCAGAAAAGAGUAGCGGUUAAAAUAAAAGCAAAAAUAACAAGGCAGCAGCAGNUCACAUUAGGAAAAAAAGAAAGGAAGAAAACAGAUGAACCAACAACAAAAACGAACACAAAAACUGUACAAUAAUUUUCAUGCCCUUUCAUUAACAGCGUCCUUCAGUGAUGCAGACAUUUUUCUACAUAUAUUUGAGAUAGAAAAAACACUAUUCAUUACCAGAGGUAAGCAUAACACAAUGCACAGGAAAUAAUUGNCUACUCCAAAAGCUCGAAUUAACGCACAGUGAGAGUAACAGAGGUGGUAUAUAGUUUCUGUCACAGGCAGAUCAAUGCCCAAACAUGUAAUUCCUAAAUNAAGAUAAAACGUAAGCUACAUUCCGUUGAAGAGAAUCUAAUCAAAUUAAUGUCUUCUAAAGCUUAAUAUAUUUAAUAUAUUGUUGCAUUUGGGUUUCAAUUCUCUUUCUCUACACACACAUAUUCAGUAUUUAGAAAUCAUAAUAAUGACAUUAUGUCUGGAUUCAACUCUUACAGCAAAUAUGUUAUGCCUGCAGUAAGAAUAUAUUUGCCUGUGACUUAAACUGUAUAAUUAGCUGGUUUCCAAUAAGGAGAAAGUUUUGUGAUGGGACGAUUUCAUACAAUGCGAUGUAUGUGUCUACCAAUAUCUGUCAUAAGCUUUGAAUAUAUUUGUUUUUGAGUAACAGUUUCUGCACGACUGAUUAUGUGUCUCUAUUCAAUAACACUGUAAAUUACUUAUUUAGCGUAUCUCAUCUAUGAAACAAACAGACUUCUGCAUGUCAUAAGUCNUGUACUUUAAACAUUGCAAGUGUUAGUUGUGCUCUUAACUGUUUUACUGUAUAAAGAAUUNAGUGAACUAGCCAAUAAUGGUAAGGUGCACAUUUCUUGAGGUAAUCNCAAUUAAUUAACAGGGAUGAAAUGCUUAUUCUUAUUUGUUUUAUUUAAUCACAGGCCAACAUGGUUGUAUAAAGAAAGGNGAUAAAAUAAAUUAGAAGUCAUUAAAUUCCAUCCUACAUACACCACUAGACUACUAGUUUUAAUACUCAAAAAUUAACAAGCAUUAAAUUCUGUUACAGUAGUGGAACACACGCACUACUUGUUUUAAUACUGUGUUUCUUUUUAUCUUUUCAAGGUGGAAGAGCCCGAAUGUAACUUUUGUAGACACUUAACAGAUUUGGGUAUGGGUUUAAAGUGAAGUCGAUGCCACCAUGACAGUAUGACCAUAGACUAAUUACGUGGUUCUCCUAAAGAAUAACAGAAAACAGUUACCAAAGCAUUCACACAAACCUCUCAUUACUAACAUGGAUAUACUUUAUAAACUAAAUUCCCUUAAAAAAGAUUCUAUAUAUGUUUUGGAAGUAAUCAAGUAUGAUUAUUUGAUGAUCGAAUUACAUCAUCUGUGUUGAGAGUACGAAGAAAUAAGAUUUCAAAUCUACCUACUUGGACACAUAGUUUGUAGUUCGUGCUCUACUAUAUUAGUUAAUGAUACAGAUCAAUAAUUAAGAUCAAUUAGAACACACAUAUAUCCGGAAGUAUUCAAUUAGAAGUAAGCGAAUAACAAGCUCAAACAUCUGAUCUACUUUCUUUCAUGUGCUAUUAUGUCAUAAUGAGUCCAAUUUUAACCGCCAGAACCAGAAUAGACAGAAAUCCUCAAUAACAACUUUGAAUGAAAAUUAUCCCUAAAAUAUUCAGUUUUACAUCCAGAAAAUUGGCACAGCGGAUUCAAUUAACAAGAGUAACAAUGAAUUAUUAAAAAUAUGAAUGCUUCCCAAUUUCAGACAGUUCCCACGGAAACUGAUAAUUGGUAGAGGAUGAAUUUCUACAUCUAAAAAGAAACCAACAGAAAAAGGGAUAAGCAAUCAACAACUUAUUUUAAUGUAGAUGGAGCAGUUUAAAACGAUAAUCUUAACAUAUCUGAGUCCCAAGUCCCAACCAAAAUAUGAUUACGGCUUAUAGAUAGAAUUAUCAUCCAAUUCUCAAAUCACAAUACAACAAAUAAAACAUAGCAAAAACAGAAGAAAAAUACAAGUUGAGCAUGAAGAGAAAGUGUUAGGGAAAAUAUUUACCUUAGUUUGUCAUCUACAAAAUCCAUUUUAGUUCCAAUGACAUGCAUAAGGGCCUUUGGAUCAAUCAAUAUCUUAACACCCUUAUCCUCAACCAACUCAUCAAACCUUCCUUUUUCAUCUGUCAAAAACAACAGGAAACUUAAUUUGAAAGGUCAUAACUCAGUGCAGUAAUACAUCCAUCUCCAGCUCACCACAAUUGAAAGGAAUAAUCAGUAAACAAAAAUAGAAAAUUCCCAACAGUAUUAAACUUUUAUCCAUGUUACUCAUAUUUAGGACUUGAGAUUUAUAUGAGAAUUUAUUACCACCAAAGGUCAAUUUUUCUUAUUUACCCUAUUAUUUGACAUACCUCAGUGCAUGUGUUUGACUAAUGGUGUAUUAGGAGUCAAUUAAUCACGGGAGGAAUAUCUUCUAAACUUGAGUUGUGUAACAGUAUGACAAUGAAAUACAAGUUUCAUAAGAGACGAGUUAACAUAAUUUUUAGAGGUGAACUAAGACAAGUUAAAAACGUUUAAAUUUUCAAUAGAGCACCAUGGUGAUGAAUGAUGCAUGCAGCAGACUUCACCCAAUGGAUAAAAGUCCUUCUUGUUGACUGUUGCCAUCACUUACAUUCAUCGUCUUAGUACUUACGUAGUUGGUCACUUCCUUAAGGUAUGACGUAUUUCAUCAUCUUAGAUGAGACUUCAAAUUUUACUUACUCAUUUUAAUCGUCCAUAACUCUUAUUUCUGAAGACAAUAAAUUAAGCAUUUUCACGCUAGUGUGCGUAAACGCGGUAUGAUAUGAAACCAAAGACAAAACAUCCAACAAAAAAAACACAGUAAACCAAUCCAGAUUAUGAUGAGACGCGAUCUCAAAGACGAUAAACAUAGGAGCAUAGCAUAAAAAUCGACAAAAAUCGGUCAUUCACAAGCACCGAUGCAAAAUUCCUGGAAAAGCAAAUCGUCGAACACUCCUUUCGAAGAUUAAAAAACCGAAUGGAUAAUCAUAUACGUAAGAAAGGUAAUUUAACGAGCCUAAGCUAAAUCAUUUAGGAUCAACCUUCUCCUAUGAUUAAACCGUAGGGAUUUCAGGACGAAAAACUCAUAAUCAAAUUGGAUUCAGCUAAGUUAUCAGAGAAAAAAUGUUCCACAAAUCUACAAGAUAUACGAUAUUUCGAGAAUAGAUUAACAGAAAGAGUGAGAGACCUGCGUAAUUGAGGGUGUAAGAUAAUCCAUUGCAGCCGCGAGCCUUGACUCCGAGCUUCAAGAAGGGCCUCUGACGCUGCUGUAGGAGCUGCCGUAUUCGCGAGGCUGCGGCAUCUGUCAACGACACAGCUUGGCGGCGCGCCGCCGUCCCUAUCUUCUCCGCUGCCACGCUCAUCGCCUUCGAAGCCAUCGAAGAUUAACUAUCCGUAUCCCGUUGUUUUAGGACGGUUCCUCUCUUUUUCAGGUUUGGCGCGUGGCCACCACGUUUGUGGCUAUGCUAGGCUAUUCGUAGAACGUUCCUGAUGAAACCUAUGCUCUGUGCUUGUGUGGCCUAAUUCUAUCUGUCUGUCACCUCUCCGGUAAUUUUAUCAAAGCUCAAACAACAAUGUACAGUUAUUAGACAAAUUAUACAUAAAUACAUUAAUAAUUCAAAAUAAUUUUAUAUCUAGAUAUGUAUGAAGCAAAUAUUACUUAUGUGAUAACUCAGCAUUUUGACACGAAUCAUUUACACAGAUGCAAACAUGCAAUUAAUAAAAUUUACCUUUUUAGAUAAUAAAAUAAAAUUCAUUUAUUAUUCAAUAACUUAUGUAAUAAUUUUAUACUCUAAUCUAAAUAUACAUAUAACAAACUUGAUAAUUUUUAUAAUAAUUAUUUAAAUUUUGUAAACUUAUUUCAGUGAAAAAUAUUUUAAAAUUAUAUGAAUAAUAAUAUUAUUGGUUAAUGAUGUAAAAUAGUUUAUAUUGUCAGUGAGUAUUAAAUUUAUUUAAUUAAGCAUAAAAUAUAUUUAGUUAUUCAUUUUCAUUUAAUUUAAGAAGAUUAAUUUUGUUCUAACAGGUUGUUGAAAAGAAAAGCCCUCUGGUCGAGUAGGGGUUUUCAAUUCCAAAGCUGUCCUGUCUGUAUAUGUUGUUGGCGUUGGCAUUGGGACGCUCAUCGCACCCAAACAAAACCCACCUUGCGGACCAAUUUCAUUUCUCACUUAUCAACAAAAACAAAACACCUCAAAAUGCAGACACGCUCGUUCUGAGAGAAUAAUUCCACUGCUCCUCUCCAUAUCACCACUCAAAUGCUUCUCUCACUCUCUCAGAACCCUUCAGUUUUCGCAGGUUUUCUCUCUUCCUCUAAUCUCCAAAAUCUUUCGCAUUUACUCUUCAACUUUCACAUUACACAUCUCCAUUUUUAUGCUUUUUAAGUGUAACAUUCGCCGAUUCUCCCUUUUCGCGCAUUUCAUUCACUUCUAUUAUCACCGCCGCACUAUAUGAACUACACUCUGGCGUUGUUUACUUCAUUUUUUUCACGCAUGACCUAAAAUUCGGUGAUUCUUUAUUAUUUUAUUUACUUAUUUAUUUUGCUGACAGGUAAAGGACGAAGGAAUUUCGAGCGAAUUGCAACAUUCACGUAUUGAAUUUACUGCUGCUAAUUUUUUCGUGAAUUUAUCAGAAGCUGCUAUUUCAGUACUGUGAAAAUGGCUACCUAUUAUGCACCUUCGAAUUCUAGAAAUUCAGCGGGGGUGCUAGCUGUUGUUGGAGGAAGAAUAAUUUCUGAGAAUCACGGUGUCAGAUCGUGCUCUUUGAAAAUUCAAGAAAGCAAGUACGUGUUUGGCAGCAGCAGAAAGUGUGGUUCGAUUCAAGUGAAGUGCUCCACGAAUUCCCACAGUAUCAGUCGCAAGGAUCCUUUUCUGGAUCUGCACCCUGAGGUUUCAAUGCUUAGAGGAGAAGGAGGGAGUGCAUUGAAUAACCCUGGACCUAGAAUAUCAGGUGGAAAGGUGGCUGAAAGCUUAGAAGCUACCAUGAAUCCAAGUAACUACAAUGAAGCUAAGAUCAAAGUCAUUGGUGUGGGUGGAGGUGGGUCAAAUGCAGUCAAUCGUAUGAUUGAGAGUUCCAUGAAUGGCGUGGAGUUCUGGAUUGUUAAUACUGAUAUUCAAGCCAUGAGAAUGUCACCAGUCAUUCCUCAGAACCGGUUGCAAAUCGGUGAGGAGCUUACGCGAGGUCUUGGCGCUGGUGGUAACCCUGAGAUUGGUAUGAAUGCUGCCAAGGAAAGCAAGGAAUCAAUACAGGAGGCAGUUUAUGGAGCUGACAUGGUCUUUGUCACUGUAUGUUCUGUUAACCACUUUUCCUUAGAGAUAUAGCUUAUGCUAACUGCGUGGCAGGUUUGCAUUGUGAAUUUUGUUUGUAAUGCCUUUCUCACCACUACCUGUCUUGGUUUUAACAUAUAUGCUCUAUUGUAGUACCAGAAUAUAUGUUUGUAAGCAAUUAAAAAGUUGAAAUAUCUAUGAUGGCAAAUAACGUGCAUGCAAUGUUUUCUUUAUCAAUUUUAGGAGGAAAUUAUCAGGAAAUGUAUAAUAUUCUGGUCUUUAUUGUUUUCAAUUUUUUUAUUAAUUAUAAUUGUUGAUUAAGGUCUGUUAGAAACAAGUAACCGGCAGUUCAUGAUUUUUUAAAUCCUCAACUUUAUCAUUUUUCAAAAUUUUCCAGUUCUACAAAACUGUUCACUGUUGCCAGUAAAUUUGAAAAACUAGAAUUCACUUGUGCAGGCCGGAAUGGGUGGAGGAACUGGCACUGGCGGAGCUCCAGUUAUUGCUGGUAUCACAAAGUCAAUGGGUAUACUGACUGUUGGUAUUGUCACAACUCCCUUUUCUUUUGAAGGACGAAGGCGGGCAGUUCAAGCACAAGAAGGAAUUGCAGCCUUAAGAGAUAAUGUUGAUACACUGAUAGUUAUUCCAAAUGAUAAACUGCUGACUGCAGUUUCUCAAUCUACCCCUGUAACUGAAGCAUUCAAUCUGGCUGAUGAUAUUCUUCGACAAGGUGUACGUGGUAUAUCUGAUAUUAUUACGGUACGGAAUCAUUAAGAUCUUUGAACACAAACAAUUACAUUCCUUUUGCUUCUUUUUCUCCUAUCAAAUCUUGAUUGUAAAUGGAGUAAAGAAUGAUAUGGAAACCUUGAGGGAUUUUUUGACAAUUCAGCAGUCCUUACCUGUUUACUAAUCUGUUUAAUAUGUUAGUUCAAAAUUAUGUUUUACCAUUAGUUUAUUUGCUACAACUCUCACAUUCUCUGCUAUCAAUUUUGAACACAUGUAGACAAAAAUACUCUGGCCAUCCCACUAAUCAGAUGACCUGGUUAUAUAUUUCCCAUGUCUCAAAGUUGAUGGUGUUAGUCUGAAAUCUCUAAUACUGAUUUUGUUAAUUAAUUGCAGAUACCAGGAUUGGUGAAUGUCGACUUUGCUGAUGUUCGAGCUAUAAUGGCCAAUGCAGGUUCUUCACUUAUGGGGAUAGGAACUGCAACUGGUAUGUAUGGGAUGGGAACUGCAGAUGGAGAUCCAUUGCUGGUCCUGAAUCCUGAUCUUCUAUUUGACCUAAAUAACUAGCGAGUUUUCCGUACAUUGUAUGGUUAUUUCUAAAUUAAUUAAAUUUUAAAAUAUAAAUUUAAAACAAAAAGUAUCAUUGAUUCAUUGUUGAGAAAUCAGGUAUCUUUAAGAAAGAAAAAUGUAUAAUAAAUGUCUUCACUCUCACUAACGAGAAUUUAUUGUAAUAGAUAGUAAUAAAUGAAAGAGAUGAUACUUUUGAAAUU